This 48224-nucleotide long non-coding RNA is filed under the name Medicago truncatula (barrel medic). Its description in RNAcentral is "long non-coding RNA (MTRU_LNC001875)". The stretch from base 38440 to 38606 matches the Rfam family "MIR2619 microRNA precursor family". Lineage: Eukaryota; Viridiplantae; Streptophyta; Magnoliopsida; Fabales; Fabaceae. The record is from RNAcentral.
GAGGGGGGUGUAUUGGGAAAAACCCAAGUCCCACAUCGGAUAGACAAGACUCUUGAGAAGAGUAUAUAAAGAGAAGGUAAUCCUCACCUUACAAGCCGGUUUUGUAAGGAUGAGUUAGGCCCCAAAUUACAACAUGGUAUCAGAGCCUCUUCACGAUUGUUUGGGCCACCUGUUAUCAGGUUUCCGUUAUCGGGCCACCCGUCAUUUAUGUUCACGCUUCAGAUGUGUAAUCCUGAGCGUGAGGGGGUGUGUUAAGAGUCCCACAUCGGUUAGGAGUUGGCCUGACAAUUUGUUUAUAAGUGGGGGCAAUCCUCACCUCACAAGCCGGUUUUGUGGGGUUGUGUUAGGCCCAACCACGAUUUCUAAUAAUCUGAAAGAAUCAAAUUUGGUUAUCCAAAAACGUAUCAGUAAAUGACACUUCAGAGUCUUUGACCCGAAAAUGAAGAAGCAGCACUAAGAACAUGGCACAAAUUAAUGCCGAUCACCGAGAAUUUUUGUUUCAACUUUAAUAUUUCAGUUUCCAGUCCACUAUAAGCAGUAUUGAGAACAGAAGUUUCGCAUUACCGUAGGAAUCGUCACUAUUAUGAAUUCGGUAGUGUCUGAAUUAUGGAAAAGAUCCCGUAUUUUUGCCACUCUCUCCUUGAGCUUUUCAAGUUUGUCUAACUACAAGUUCAAAUACAAAAUAAUUAAAAUUUUGUAAAGGUAGAAUAAUAUUAUUAUAAAAACAGAAAAGCUUACAGGAUUUCUCCAGAAAAAAAAAAAAAAAAUAGCUUACAGGAUUGUUUUGAGGCUGUUCUUUUCCCAACAAGGAUUUGAAAACUGAACCUAAUUUCAUCUUCAUCUGGACAGAGCAAUUGAUUUAGUAAAAUUCUAGUAGAGAGGAAGAUGAUCAAGCCUAGUUGAAUAUAAAGUUGAUUGUGGAUAUGAAUUAUACCUUCAUAAGUUUGCCUAUAGAUCCAUCCAAGAAGUCAGGCAAUGAUAGUAGCCGAAGUGUAUGACCCUAUUGAGAUAUUCAUAAACAAUCAUAUUUUUUUCCUAAAUUUUCAUAUACACGUUGUAAAAGAACUAAUAAUUGUUACGGACCGUUGGUGCUGUAUCAAAAACUAUCCGACUGAACAUACUAUAUUCUUCAGACUCAAGAAAUUGCAUCACCUGAAUCAAAACAGCAUAAUCAGGAAACAUAAACAAAGCACAUUUUUCAUUCUGAGCUUAAUAUCCUCAAUGCUUGUAUUUAAAAUACAUAAAAAAGGAAAUAAACAAUUCUACAUGCCUUAGCAAUUGCAAUGAUUUCAUCUGUUCCAGGUGGAGGAGUGUGCAACAGCUCUUCAAGAUUAAGGUCCCCUAACUACAGCAACGUCAUUAGCAAGAUAAGUGAAUGUUAACAACAUUUAAUCUGAAGUCAUUGCAGCACCAAACUUUUAAAACUAUGUCUAAAAUUUCAAGAAACUUGCUUCAAAGAUCUAACAAUUUCUAAUUUGUGUCUUUAGUAAUAGUCAAUAGUAGCUGAGGACCUGCCGUCAAAUGUUACUUUUAUCUUAAUAGGGGAUAAAUUUAAAUCAACAAAUCGUUUGCUACUUUCAUGAAGUGAUUAAUUGUUGGUUAGUCAUAUAAAUACAUAACUAUAAAAAGGCGCAAACAAAUAUCAGAACUGAAUACUCAUGAAGUGAUUAUUUGUUGGUUAGUCAUAUAAAUACAUAACUAUAAAAAGGCGCAAACAAAUAUCAGAACUGAAUACUAUUAUAUAGUAUAUGUUCCGACAAUAACAGAACAAACUAGAUAAAAAAAAUAAAAAAUAAUCACAUCAUAUGCAAGGUUUGAAAAACAGUCCAGGACCGUAACGUCAAUGUUUUUCAUGUUUCUGCAACUGCAUUGCUACCACAAUAUAAGGGAUCAACAACUUCUAUGCAACUGUGGUUAAAAAACCUUAAUCAUAUGCAUACAAAGCCAUAUGCACAAAUACACUCAAAAGCACUCAAAACUAAAUGUACAAACUACCUGGUCAGCAACCACUCCAAGUCCCAUGCUUUGCAUCAAACUCUUAGCACCCCCACCUCCAAGCUUUUGACCUGCUGUCCGGAAUUCUUCCAUUGAUUUAUCAGGGUUUAUCUGUCAUCAAACAAUCAAAGGUUCAAUACAAAACAAUUAAACAACAACAUGCAGUUCAGCAAAACACCAAAGAAGCAAUAUCAAACUGUUUGGUAAAAAAUAUUACCUCAAGAGCAUAUAAUGGAGAAUUCACUCCUUCAACCGGAACAAGUUUUCCCCCUGUCAAAUCCUAAUCGAAACAUAAAUUUUUAUACAACAUUCCAGCAUAACAAAACUACUGAAGAAAAAUAUCUCUAAAACCUAUAAAAAAUGGUUCGAGUUCAUAUUUUUUUUGUGGCGCAUUAAUAAUUACCUGAGCAAAAGAAUCACUUAAUGAAUGAGCAGGAUCAGUUGAAACCACCAUAGUGGGGUGUCCAUGAUUUGCAAAUUUGAUAGCAAGAGAAGCAGCACAGCUUGUUUUCCCAACACCACCUUUCCCACCAAGCAUGUAAUAUCUCCUUUCCUUGUCUCUCACCAUCUCAUCAAAUCCACAAACACUUUCUGCUACAUUUCCUAUCCGCCUUGCUGCAUUUCAAAUAUACUCAAUCACUCCCUCCAUUCCUUUCUAACCAAAUAACUGUUGCUAAUUAUUUCUCAUUUUCAGAGUUCAAAACAUUAUUUACUAUAUCGGUUUAAAUAUGAUUUUAGUCUCUACAGUUAUAGCGUUUUUUUUGUUUUGUUUUAGUCCGUGUAAGUGUAAGUGUUUUUGCUUAGAUUCAGUCCCUGCAAAUUCAAAAUCUAUUGCUUUUAGUCCUUGAGUCAGCUUAUUGGGCCACAUGGCUUGGUUUGAUUGGGUCACAUACAACGUCCAAGAUUAACAACAACAAUUUUUUAAUUUGCAAGGACUGAAUUAACCAAAAAACUUACCGUCACAAAUAAAAAAAAAAAACAAAAAAACACUAUAUUUGCAGAACUAAAAUCAUAUUUAAACCAUUAUUGUUUUAUCAAUAAUAAGCUUAACUAUUUUUUAAACAUCUGUUUGACUAAAAAAGACAUAUUUGGUAACUGUCACUUUCUCACGAGCUUAUAGCUUAUUUUUACUAGCAUAUAGUGUUUUUUGAUAAGCUAAUUCAAGUAGCUUAUAGCUUAUAAUUUUUAUCCCAAUUUUCCCCUUGUAACCUUAAUUGAAAAAAAAUAUAUAUAUUAAAUAUUAAUUAAAUAUAUCUUAUUUGUAUCAUUUCAUACUUAUAAGCUAGUUUAACCGCUAAUUCUACCAAACACUACGAAUUUAAUCAGCUAGUUUAUCCGCUAUAAACUACCAAUUCAGUUAUUAGCUAUUCUUUUUUACCGAACAGAGCCAUGGAAAAUUAGGUACAACAUAUCAAGGGUAUCACAACAACAGCAAAAAAUUAAUUUAAUCAAAAGUAAGAAAAUUCACUCAUUUCAUUGGUUUAUGCAAAAUAGACUUAAACUUCACUUAAAAGGAACUGAGUUCAUAAUUCACUUUUUCUGAAAAUACAAGUCACUGAAUUAUUCAUAACCAUAAGCAUGCAUUGAUACCCUAGAAAAUUCUGCAAUUUUCGGGAAAACUUUUCAAUAAUGAUUAUCAACAUCGUUAUGAUUUGAAAUUUGAAAUACCUUGAGAUAAAGGUGGGAGAAUGAAAGGUGUUUGAUGCAACGAAGAGGAAGUGAUGUUGCGAAGAAGCGAGGAAUUCUUUUGGGUCUUCAGAAUGUGACCAAGCAGCGCCGCCAUUGUUAGUUUACAGAAACAGAGAAUCUAUGAGAGAGAACAAAGCCACUUUUUUUUUUUUUAAAUGGGUUUAAGUUGGGGUUUAGUUUAGGGUACACAACUUCACUUGUAAAAGAAGCAUCAUCAUUUUUUUUCUUUUUAUUUUUUUUAGAGGAAAAAGAAUCAUAUCAUCAUGUUCAUCAAAUUAUCUUUAUUUUUAACCCCAAUGAUUUUUUACUUCAUUUUUAUUGGGGUGAUAUUGAUCUUUUUAUUUGAUUGGCAAAAUCAAUAAGUUAGCAUAUAUAUGGGUCUUUACUUCAUUUUUAUCCGAUUUGAUUUGGUUAGUAAAAUAAAAAUUGCAAUUCGAACCAAACUAUGCGGCUGAGUUAAAAAAUGGUUCGAAUGCAUCCGAACUAAAAGCAGUUUUUGGUUUGGAUUGGUUCGAUUUGCAGUUUUUCUAUUUGGGUCGUUCAGUUUUGAACACCCUGAGAGCAACCACAUAAAUGAGUUGGAACCACAAUCUUAAAAAAGAUUUUAGGUCAUUUUUAUAAACUGUUCAACCCUUACUUUUUCAAGUAAUGUGAGACUUCUCUCUCACACUUGCUACACAACAAUCCUCAUCUCAAGUGUGAAUUCAUCGAUUCAUCAUGCCCACUCCUCAAGAGGGAGCUUUUUCGCCUGCAUACACUUACUUGCUUGUAUCACCGUUGUCAGAGGCAUCAAUAGGACACACUUCCUGAAUAUUUUGUCAGGAACAUUUUUGACACAAAAAGUCAAUUGAAACACUAUUAUGAUACCAUUGUUAGAUCAGUUGGGGAGUCUCGGAGAUCAUCCAUAUUUAUAAGCAAUGUGAGAAUUCUACAUCACACUUGUUGCACAACAAUCUUCCCAUUAAGUGUGAAUCCAUUAAUUCAUCAUGAUUAUCCCUCAAGUAGAAGCAUUUCAUAAGCAUACUCUUACAUGCAUUGUUGUUGUCAGAGGUACCAACGAGACACGCCACCUGAACAUCUUAUCAAAAAGAUUGUCAACACACGGAGCCGGUUGAACCAUAGCUUUAAUACCAUUGUUGGAUCAUGAGGGAAGUCCAUGAGAUCAUCCACAUUGGAUUUAGAGCAAGAUAUUUUUUCCCCCUUAAACGAAAAUAAAUUAUCAAUCCGACCUUCAUUGAGUUUUAAUUAUCCUAAUGCCCUAGUUUGAUAAAGUUUUUUUUUUUGUCCUCUAAUUGUAUGUCACGCCCAUUUGAAAUGGAGUGACAUUUUAUUUUAUUAUUAUUUUGCUGUGUGUUCUGACAUUUUAAUUUUUUUUAUUUUUAUGUCACGCCAAGGGUGGAAUAAAAAUCUUACCAAUUUUAUUUUGGUUUGAGCAUUAGAUUAAUGAGUUCUUCACUUAUAAAAUGUUCAACUUCUAUUUAUGUGAUUUUUAACUCACACUUACUACACAUCAAGUGUAGUAUCUGUUCUUAUCAGUUUAAUAUCUGAUAUGUGGCUCAAUAGGUCACACGAUAUUAAAUUAUUUUUUUGAGGGGGAGAAGUCAUCACAAUAGCUUGCUAUUGAACUUCUCAAGUGUCGCUUAUGCGUUGCACUAUUGCAUAGGCUGGCGCACCCCACCAAAAAAAAUAAAAAUAAAAAAAUACUACACAUCAAGGACAUAUUCUUGCAGCAAUGAACGCAAAACUUAAUGAAAAGAUGCUUCCAAUUUUACUGGCCGUCGUUUAAGGUGGGAUAGAUCUAGGACUGACAAGAAACAAAAUGUAACAUAAAUGACUAAUUCGGAAAGGAAAAAAUUGUAAACGACCAACCGUAAAAUCAAUCAAAUUUUAAAGAUUGAAAAUAUAACUUUACCUAAAAAGAUGGAUAAAAUUCCAGCUAAAAAGAGCAUUAGUAUUCAUUUAAUAACACUACUUAAUUGAGUUGUUGCAUCAAAACUGGAAAUAGGUUAUCCAGAAACAUGUUAACAUUAACACAACCUUUAUAAAUGGUAACAACCUAUGGGCUCUAUUUUACGUAUAUAAAUGUACUUGAAAAUAUAUUCAUUACUAGACCCCGGGCCUGGGAUAGACCAUUAAUUGGCCAAUCUUCACAAUAAUCAGCUGAGAGAGAAGAUGAUAUUAAUUUUUACAGUUAAUGAAUGAUAAUUGUACUUGGAUGGAUUUUUAUUUUUUUGAAUUUACUUUAUAAAAAGCGUGAAACAUAAUUUUAUAUGCAUAAGUUGAACAUAAGUUUGGUAUCAAUGUUGUACACAAAGGGAUAUAUCAAUGUUGUGAUCCCUCAUAAUUUAAACUCACUCCAUUUAAAUUUUCAAUAUGCUUCUCUCUCCUUUUAAAUGUGUUUGGUCACAAGGGAGUCGAGAGGAUCAUCCACAACAUUGAACUCAACAACCACAAGUGAGAAAUACACCACACUUUUACCUAAAAUCUUAAGACAAUUGAUUUAUGGGUUCUUCGUUUAUAAAGUUCAAAACCUCUAAUUUUCUAAGCGGUGUGGGGCUUCUUUACUCACAUGCAUUUGCUACACAACAAUCCUCCCCUCAAAUGUGAGUCCAUCGAUUCAUCAUGCUCACCCCUCAAGUGGAAGUUCUUUCAUCAACACACACUUUCUUGCACCGUCGUUGCCACAAGCGCCAACGAAACACAUUGUCCCACCAUUGUCAAAAAGACUUUCAACACAAGGAGUCUGAUCAAACCCUUCGUCAAACCUCGGCUCUGAUGUCACUAUUAGGUUACAAGGGGAGUCCGGAGGACCGUCCACCACAUUGAGCUCAGAGCAACCACACAAGUGAGGGAGCACACAUUUACUCAAAUCUUAAGACAAUGAGUUGAUGAGUGCUUUAUAAAAUGUUCAACCUCCACUUUUCUAAAUGAUAUGAGACUUCUUUACUCACUCAGUGACAACUUUAGGUACCUAAUCCAUUUUGUGCUUCAUUACAUGAGAAAUACUAAAUUGGGCAUAACCCCUAAUAAAAAAUAUUGGGCACACAUUCACAAUUGAAAUAUAUUAAAAGAGAAAUAAUUUAGUCAGAUCACUUAAUAUCAUUUAUCAUUUUUAUCAUUUGUCUUUGUGUGUUCAAGGAGAUUUUAUAUAGUGUUGUGCCAGUGCAAGGGUUGUUAGAAUUACAUAUGGCGAGAAUUUCAAGUACCAAAUCUAUUUUGUGCUUCACAAGUGUCAUCAGACAGUGAAUACCAGAUGAUGUGAGGUAGUGGUACUAGACAUACUUUGUGCAUUAGGAUAAUGAACCAAUCUUAAGCAUCAAAUGGUCUUCGCUCUGAGGUAACUUAUGUGUUGUCUCUUACUUCGAUCAAUCAGAUCGUAAACACGGGGUGGUGUUAGAAUUUUUUAGGGGUUGGAUCCAAUUUGUGGAUCUUUUUUAAUUUUUCUUUUUCUUUUUAUUGUUUUGAUUUUACCCGUUAGGGUUGUUAAUUGAGUCAGGUUUUACGUCCCCCCAAUUUUUAUGUAAUUUUUUCUUUUUUUAAUAAUAUAUAUGAGCAAUUGACAAUAAAUAAGAGUAUGGUUCCAAUAUAGUUGAAAACUAUUUUUUUGUUGUCAUUUUGCUCUUGGCCUUUCAGAAGAAUAUAUAUUAUAUGCACUCUUGAAUAAAUAUUAUAGGAUAUAUUGUUCUCAUAUUCUCUUCCGUCUUGAAUAUAAUCAUCAAAAUAAAUCAUGUUUUGUGGUCUCAAAUACAAACAAAAUUCAACAAGGGCUGUCACAUUUAAGCCAAGAUUCUUAGAGUACCCUUUAAUUAAAUUAAAUUUUCAAGUAACACUUUUAAUAUAUAUGGAACAAAGUUCUCAUGAGGGUAUUUUAGAUAAUACGGUUACUUUUUAUAUUACUCUGAGAAAUAUAGAUGAAAUUACUUGGUUUUCUUUUCUUUUGAUGAAAUAACUUGCUUUUCUUAAAGGGUAUAUGUAAUUUUUUAUAUUUUUUUUAUAUAUGAGAUCAGAUGAAAUAUUUUGUUAUCAUUAAAAUAUUUAUGGUCAUCAUUUCUAGGCCAAUUUGAUUGCAAUUGAUGGUUUUUAUGUUUAACAGAUUAAUUUUAUUUUUCUUAAAAAACAUAUUAGUGGAUUGUAAAAGGUUUAAUAGAUUGUUUUGAUUCAUCAACUGAAUUCAAUCGAAAUCCAUCAAAUUCAUUCAUUUUGUCACCCCUAAUUCAAACUCACUUGAUCUAAAAUGCUCAUGUGUUAUUUCUUUCUUGAUGCAAUAUCACAUUUUAUCCAUGCUAAAAGCACAAAUAGAUUUCACUUGCGUCUCUUUUUUUAGUAGUUUCACUUGCGUCUCUAUCUAUCAUAUACUUUCACUUUCAUUUGAUAAUAACUCGUACGUUACUUGUUAAUUUGUUAGUAAAUUGUAGCCAACCUUUACAUUAUGAUCCAACCAAACAAAAAUUAAAAAAAAUGCUAUGCAUGCACUUUACUUAAAGUAAUGUCAUUAAUUAAAAAGAAACUUAUAACUUAGAACAUAUAUAUAUAUAUAUAUAUAUAUAUAUAUAUAUAUAACCACACAAAACAAAACCAAGAUUGCAAGCUACUCCAAAAGACCAAAAACUGAAAAAGACCACCCUCACUUCUAUGAGAUACAUGAUGUCCCACUCCUACCAGCACUCACAACCACAACAAAGACGGUUUUUAUCUCAAUACAAUCAAAACCAACUUCAUCAACAAAUUUUCAAUAUUAAUAUUCCUGAAAAGUCCCUCUCAACUUCAACACAUAACUUCUCUUUCUUUGGCACCAAGCUUGUGUCAUCAUCUUCUAACCAACAUUAUGAAGAUCAAGAAGAACCUCUUAGUCCUCCAUGUUGUUUUAACGUUGUUUCUAAUUCUAAGCGUUUCAUGUUUGGCUCUUCCAUGGAUCAUACUCAACUAGAUCAUUUAUCAUCACUUAUCUCUCCUUCUCAUAUUGAUAUUGUAAGUACUAUAUUGUCAUUCUUAAUUUAGUUAACAUCUAUGAUUAUGUAUUGAUUUGUCAUUAUAUUGUUACAUUUUACCAUGUUUGUGAGAAGGUACUAGUACAGUAUUAUGUAUCAUGGUUUUAAAUUGCGGUUGUAGUUUUUGGCUACAAUGUGACACUUUGUAUCGCGGAAAAAUGUGGUUGAUGCGGCCGCAAUUGCGAUCACAAUAUUGUUGUUGUAAAACCUCUACAAUUUCUGUCUACUAAUAAGUGCUCUAAUCUAAAGUACUUUUUCCCUUGUCCUUUUCUUUUUGUUUGCAGAGGAAAAAGAAAAUUAACGGGUUGCAAAAGAAAGAGGAACUUGAAAAAGAGGUAUUUGGAUUCAUAUAUAUUUUAUGGAAAAAUUUCAUAAUUAAUUACUACAUGAGUUUAAUCUAACCAUCAAAUAUUUUUUUUUAAUUAAGUAGAUCAAUUCCACAAUUUUUCAUAAAACUUUAAAACUAUUUGAUACUUUACUAAAUAAUUUCAAAUGAACGUAUGAUAAGUUCUUAAAAAUAUUAGUAAAUGUUGAUGGUUAUGUUACAUAACUACAAAUUUUGAUUAAUCUAAAAUUUGUGUAUUUGCUCAUUAACAUAAUAUGACAACCAUCAACACUUCAAUUAUUGAAAUUAAAUAUUGGGUUAAUAGUGUUUUACCCCCAUGUAAUAUAGGUCAUUUUCGAUUUUUCCUCCUGUAAAAUAUUUUUUUUUGAUUUCGUCCUUGUAAUUUGAAUAUUUUUGGUUUUGGACCUUCAUGAAUUUUGACUGUACAAAAUCGAAGAUAUAGCAGGGGUAAACCGAAAUUUGCUCAAAUUAACAGAGGGUAAAUUGAAAUUUGCUCAAAUUAUAAGGGGGGUAAACCUAAAUUUUCUCAAAUUACAGGGGGUGAAAUUUUUCAUGGAGGUCCAAAACCAAAAAAUCUUCAUAUUACAAGGAUGAAAUUCAAAAAAAUUAUUUUACAGGGGGAACCAAAAAUGACCUAAAUUACAGGGGGUUAAAGCACUAUUAACCCUUAAAUAUUUAUAAUGAAGUAUUAAGUGGAAUAACUCACUUUAGAGUUAGAUAUACAUAUAUAGAGGAGAGGGAUCAUGUUACUUCAAGAGUAAAUAAAUAUGAUGAAGUAUCUUUUACUUUUAUAGUAAUGUAUUAAGAUGGUAAUAAAAAGUGUCCCUCUCCUUUCCAAAAUGUUAUGACUGACUUCAUGAUCAUAUCAAUGUAUAGCUAUACUAAUUAGUCCAAACUUUGGAACUAUAAGUUUGCUAUUUUUGCCAAGGGAGAGGACAAUAAUAGUGAAUGAGAACCAUGCCCCUCAAUGGCAUAUAGCAUUAAAUUGGAAAACUUAUAUAUUAUUCCUAUAAAUAUAUUGGGGAGUUAUGCUAUAUGCCAAAAAUUCAAUGGCAUAUAGCAUUAAGACUCAACUUUAGAGAACUUCAGAAAACUAUAUGACUUGUUAAUGUAAUAAACAGGUCACUAUGCUUCAAAGGUUGUUGGACCAAGAAGAAAAAGUUCGUGAAAUAUUGGAUAUGGUGAAUAGUAGGCCAAACGGUUCAGCUAUAUCUAUUCCCAAUUUUCUUCCUUCUAAGGUAAUACAAUGUUCACCUCAUAUAUAUUUUCCCUUUACUUUAUUGUUUUCUUUCUCUAGCUAAAUUUUCAUAGUGUUAGUCACUUUUUAUUCAAAGCUUCAUAUUGGCAAGGUAAUAUAAUGUUAUAGGGAUAUGGGUUCAAUUUAUAUAGCAUAUGUAUCAUACAUGUAUGUAAGAAGACUUUUAGAACCAACCCAAAACGUUUCAUCAUCACUUAGGAGUUAGGUCCUUCAAACCAUAACUGGCAAAAAUACAAUUAUACAAAAUGGUAACAAUGUUGCAAUAAACUAGUAUUUGCUCGUCCACAAGUCCUAGUUCAACGGGCAAAAAAGUCGAUAUUGUUAGGUUGGACGUCAUGAUCAGGGUUCAAACACUGGCACCUCCACUUGUGUGUGUGAUUUUUAAUGGUUUUACCAUUUCGUCUAUUUACUAAAAAAAAAAAAAAAAAAGAUUUGCUUGAAGUAAAAUUUGAUUAUUUGUUAUGCAAUUUAUGCAGAUGAGAGAAUUGUUAGCAGAGCUAGUCAUGGUUGAGAAUGAGAUAGCAAAACUUGAAUCCCAAAUUAGCACACUUCAAACUGGUCUGAAACAUGAACAAGAAAUCACCAACGAAUCUAAGUCAAAAAUACAGAACCAAGGGAAUUUUAUGAGCAAUUCUAACAAUCGUUUAUCAACUUCAACAAUUACAAAUCCUAGUUCUAUUCAAAGAAGCAGUAGUAAUGUUCAUGAAAGGAUGGCAUUUGAAACAAAGGCAUUGCAUUUCAUAAGUAAAGCAAUCAAGGGUGAUUAUAAUCUCAAUGACUUCAGUCUUAAUGAAAAAACAGGAUUUUCUAAAAAUUCUGUUGAACAGAAAGAAAAUAGUUUUCAGGAAGAUGUUAAAUUUCAUGAAAGAAUUACUAGGAAAAAUGGAGCAGUGAAGCCUCCCUCGCCCAUGCGAGACCCGCGUCAUCCAUCACCUAAGGUAUGAAUGACGAAUUUCCCAAUUUAUUCGUGUAUGUAUGAUUCUUUUACUUAAUCAAAAUGAAAAUUAGUUCGCUUUGAAAUUUUAGUCCGUAGAUAAUAUAAUUGUGCAAUUUUGAUCUUUGGUAUUUUAAUUGCGCGAACUAUGUCCUUUGAGCAUCCAUCUUAUUGCAAUUAUCUUUCUUUAUCAUUGAGUCGUCCAAUUUCUAACAUCUAUAGCCUAUGUGGAUUGAGUUGCCAGACUGACCAAAGUUAGUCGCAACUUAGACUUGUGUGCCACAUUGACUAUUGAUUUUAAAAAUUGGACGACUCGAUGACAUAGUAACUUGAUUUGAAGUGACUGUAACAAAAUGAAUAUGUGGGACCUAAUAUUUGCAACCAAUGACUAUACUAUUUUCAGCUGAGGGAACGUAAUCUAGACAUGUCCUUGGAUCUUCCAACUAGGUCACUACUUGAUCCACUUUUAUCAGAAGAAAAUGACCUAAAGUGGCAACCAAACAAGCUAUCUGAAAGCAUCAUGAAGUGUUUGAAUUUUAUAUAUGUAAGACUACUUAGAACAUCAAGAGCAAUGGAAUUGGAGAAAUCAGGACCUGUUUCAAGAUCAUUGCAUUCUUCUUUAAGCUCAAGAAGCUUCCGGGUCGAUUUGGGAUCGACCCAGAAACCAAGUCUUAUGUUGCACAAGGAAUCAAGGCAGCAAGAUCCAUAUGGUAUCUUUGAUUCAGAAGAGUCCAUUCCUAGGGAUAUUGGUCCUUACAAGAAUUUGGUUAUGUUUACUUCAAGUUCAAUGGAUCCAAAGUUUAUAUCAAGCCCUUCGUCUAUUCCAUUACUAAGAAAGUUAAGGUAUGACAUGAAUAAUGUAAAUAUCAGGAAUUUAAAUAGUGGCUGCAGUGCGAUAUUUGAUAUUGCAGAAAAUCGCAGUCAAAUAUGACGGAUGCAACCUCAAUUUUGGUCGUGUUGUAUAAUUCUAAAUUUCUAUUGACAAGACCAAAUGCUGAGAAAUUUGCAAGUUUCACUAGAUUUUAAUAUGUUCCUUGUUGUUUAUAGGAUUUUGAUGAGCAAUCUUCAGACAGUUGAUUUGAAAGGCCUUACAAAUCAACAGAAAUUAGCAUUUUGGAUCAACUUGUACAACGCUUGUAUCAUGCAUGUAUGGUAGACAUUUCUUGUACAAAUCUAUAUUUAAAAUUUCAAUGAAUAAGAAAGAAUUAUAGGACAUGGAUCAACACUAUAUUAUAUAUAUGAUUAAUGAUUAAUGUAUUUUUUUUGUUAUAGGGAUUCAUUCAAUAUGGUGUGCCAUCCACCUCAGAAAAGUUAAUUGCAUUGAUAAACAAGGUACCUUAAAAGUCUUGAUAUAUAGAUGUUACCUGUACUGAUUGUAGCAUCUUAGGCUCUUCCAUGAUAUAAUGACAAGUGUCAUAACUCAAAAGAAGAAAACAGUUAUCAUAGCUUAGUCCUUCAAAAAAAAAAAAGUUAUCAUAGCUUAGAAAUUUAAUAAGUUUUUCGAGCGUUUGUUUCAAGUUUUCUACAUUUAUUCUUUGGAAUAACUUUUUUUUUAAUAUAAGGAUUAAGCUUUAUUUCCAAGUACUUUUGAAAAAAACAUGUUUGGUUAAAUUUUACAUUAUGACUAUAAAUUAUUUUAAGAGGGAGGUUGUUUAUAAAACAAACACUUUUAAGGUAUAAAUUUUAAUCUCUUUUAGAAUUUAAUUUUCUUUAUUUGGUACAUUUAGAAUUUAAUUUUCUAACUUGCAGAAAGAAACAAAUAAUAUUAUAAAAAAAUAUACAAAACCUUUUAAUUAAAAAAUUUUAAACUUAUUUAAUUAGAAAAAAGGUUUUUAUUUUUUUUUCCUUAGAAAAAUCAUAAAACAGAAUGUCCUUAUAAUGUUGAAUUGAAUUGCUAUUGUAUAGGCAACCCUCAACAUAGGAGGCAACAUAAUAAAUGCUCAAGCAAUAGAGCAUUUUAUUUUAAGGAAAAGAGAUGCUUCUAAUAUGAAAGAGGUAAAGCCACUUUCUACUUAGUGUUCAUUUAAAUGCAAAAACAAUUAAAAUCAUUAGCUAUCCAUAAUCUUGUUAUAUUUUUUGUAAUUAAAUCUGUAAAACAAUGUUGCAUGCUUUAGGCACAAAGGAAGGGGGAGUGGGAAGAGAAAGAAUCAGUUGUACGUGAACUCUAUGGGCUUGAAUUUGUGGAUCCAAAUGUCACAUUUGCUCUCUGUAGUGGAACUCGUUCUUCUCCAGCUGUAAGUCCAGCUCCUCACACACAAACAUACACAUUAUAAAACGACGAAUGUUGUUCACACUUCACUCAAUGCUAGGAAACACUACUAAUUUAUCAAUAUAACUUUAUCGGCAGUUAACUGUUGAUCAAUUUUAACCGGCUGCAGUUAACUGCUGAUGGACAUUUACGUCUUUUUCUGGUGUGUUUCAUCCUUGUUUAAAGUGUCAACAACAAUUUUCUUCUACAACAGUUUGCUUAUUCACAUUGCUCCUUAUAGACUAUAGUAGCAUUUCCAUUUAUAUACAAUUUAUUUUUAGCUUCAAUUUUUUUUAAAGACAAAAUUGUAUAAAGGUGUAAGAAAAUGUAUUAAUCAAUAUGCAUUGCAUUCAGGUGAGGAUAUACACAGGAGAUGGUGUGACAGCUGAACUAGAGAAAUCAAAGCUAGACUAUCUUCAAGCUUCAAUUCUUGCUACUAGCAACAAAAGAAUAGGGUUUCCAGAACUUCUCCUAAGAAACAUGCUUGAUUUUGCUGUGGAUAUUGAUUCACUUGUGGAAUGGGUGUGUAACCAGUUACCUACUUCAGGGACUCUAAGGAAAUCAAUGGUUGAAUGUUUUAGGGGUCAUGGUGGUAAUGUCAAGGCAUCAACCAUUGUUGAAAAGAUACCCUAUGACUAUGAAUUUCAAUAUUUGUUAACAAUAUAAAUAUGUUUAUGUCUUUUCUUUGUUAUUAAACUUGAGGUGUGUGUACAAAAUAUGUAUAUAGAAGGAUUUUGAGCUAUCAAGAAUUGUCCCCUUCCAUAUAUUAUAGCCAGUCUAAUUGAUUGUAGAAUGAGUCAAACUUAAAGCAAAAUUCACUCAAAUGUCAAAGCUUCAUGUGACAGGUCAUUUAUUUCGAUUAAUCAUUUUUAAUCUGUUUCACUUUUAUUUAGAUAUUCACAAUGUUUAAUAGGACCCUUUUAUUUAAUAUUUCAAAAGAAAUAGAUAGACUCUAUUUUACAGUGACAGGAUCAUGUGAAAUUUUGAUCAUACAAUUUUUUUAACUCAUACCAAAUGUUGUAAAAUGAAACAAUGCUUAUGCAUCCUGUUAGUAUUUUAUAAAUGGACAGUAAGAAUUAUUUUAGUAGAAAUAGUUGAAGUAGUAAAAAUGGAAUUGUGGAGAACUUGAAUUAUAAUAACUUGAAAUGGAGUAGUACACUUUGUAGUGUUAGAAGAUAAUUAGCUUGUGGUUUGCUCUAAAAUGGAUAGUAAGUAGCCUUUUUAUAGGCUUGACAUGUUGGUUAUAUGUUCUCUAGAGACUUCUUCUUGGGGAAAGUUUCUACACUUAUGUAUUUUACAUUAUUCUCAACAAAAAAAAAAUCUACUAGAAAUUUGUAGCAUUUUUCAACACUCCUCCUUGAUACAAAUUUUGAUAACUCCAAGCAUAGUUCGUGGUAGCUCAAAUCUUGCUCUACCCGAAUCCUCGAUUGAUGAAAUGCCAAUCAAUUCUUGUGUACCAUGCUCGAAGAUUUUUCUUAUGCCCAUUCAGAGAUUUUCAUAGUGUUAGUUCUUUUCCUCCAUUGCCUUUGGCACAUAGUUCUGGUUUUGACGCCACUGCAUAGUUUUUAGGCUCAUGUUUGGCCAUGUUGCAAGUUUCAUAUAUAUCCACCAAUGAUCUUACUCUUGUUGGAGUAGAUUCUGGAGAAGAAGUUUCUUGUCGGAGAAUAUUCUAAAAUUUACCUCCUGAAAGCAUGUAUAAAUUACUUGUCAUCUUUUCUGCUUUUAUCACCACAAGAUUAUCUUUCACCACUUUUAAGAUUCCACUUUCAUCAUGGAUCUUGCAUUAGAGUUGACCCAAUUUCUUUAGCGACAAUAAAUUCUUUUUGAACCCAUUUACAUGACUUACCCCAUGUAUUUUGCAAACAAUACCAUCAUGUAUCUUUAAUGUAAUAGUGACGACUCCAACAAUUUCAACAGUAUAGUCAUUUUAUGUGUACACAAUUCCUUAUGAGAUCAGCUAAUAAGAGAAAAAUCAAUCUCAGUGUAGAGUCAUGUGCCAAUUGCCAUGUUGCACCUGAAUCCAUUAUCCAAAUAUCGUUGAGACUUCUUCUACCUUUAGAACUAGUUAUUGCUUCGCUAUACAAGAUUUCACCAUCAUCUAAGGUGCUUCCAAUGCAUCCUUGAGAUGUUGAAACUUCAAAAGUAUUUUCUCCAUCCUUGUUAUUAUUCCACCACUCCUUUAAAUGUCCUUUCAUGCCAUGAUUUUAGCAUUUGAGAUCCUUCCUUCUACGAGAUUUUGACCUAUUAUCAUUUUGACUCCCACUGCAACCUCAUUUUGUUGAUCUGUCUCUUGUUAUCACCAAAGCCAGUUUGCAUUGAACUCUCUGACCUUUCUUACUUAUUCUUGAAUUUGGAUUCAUCUUCAAGAUUUGCAACAGCGGCAUCAUCAAAAUGAAGGGUAUCAACCACAUUAUCAUUGAUAAUGUUGACGAUGAGUUUAUCAUACAAAUCUGAUAAAAACUAAAGUAGAAGUUUAACUCUCUCACUUUCCGUUAUUCUGAAAUUUGAAGUUGUAAGUUGGAAAAAUAACGUAUUUAGGGUAUUGAUGUGAUAUGUUGUUGUCUUGGAUUCACUCAUUCGAAGAGUGUAGAGCCUUAUUUUUAAGAAUAUUCAGUUGUGAAGUAAUUUGACCUCGUUCAAUUUUACUAGAGUGCCUCGUAUCUCAUUUGUUGUCUUUUUUUCCCAAUAAUACUUGACAAUAUUGAAUCCACCAUUGCAAGGUGCAAAUUUGCAACAACAUUGUCUUCAUUUUCUUUCCACUUUUCAUCAGUCGUAUCCACAAGUUUGCCUUUUAUCACGUUUAGGCAAUUAUUUUUUCUCAAAAUUGCCCUUAUCUACAAUUUCCACAAGGAAAAAUUUCUCCCAUUGAACUUCUCUAUCUCAAAUUUCGUUGCCAUGGUUUUGCACCAAAUAUUUUUUUUUCUCAACUAGCUAGACUAGAAUAAUAAUAAUAAUAAUAAUAAUAAUUUUAUGAUAUGAAAAAUCAGACUAUGCUGCAACCACAAAGCAUACUAAGAAGGCAAAUUCUAUGGUACACCCAAUAAAUUUGGGUGUAUCGGUACACCAAAUCGUAAAAUUAAUAAUAAAUGAGUUGUUUUUUUGAAGAAAAAUAAUUAUUUUUUAUCAUUGACAACUAAGAUAAUUAAAUUUUAUAUACCAAAAGCUUCGACGAAAUAAAAUAUAAUUUUUAAGAAUUUUUAUUACUCAUAACAAUGAAUAUUGAUUAUUUUUUAUGAUAAAAUGUAAAUUUUGUAAUAUGAUCCUUAUAAACAAUGAAAUUAUUGUUUUUCUUAUGAAAUUAUGUUUUCUAAAAUAUAAAUAUUGACAAAUACCUUUUUAUUUCAUUAAAGUGAUCUUUAAUUUAUAUAUUUUAUGAAACAAGAGUACCGGUACACUCAAAAUUGUGAGUGUAUCAUAGAAGUUCCUUACUAAGAAUUUUCUAAUGAAUAUAACACCUUACCAGUUUAUUGCAGCAAAACCACAAACCAAUAGCUCUGAUACCAUUGUUGGGUAUCAGAGUAACAAAGUAUUUUCACACAACUAAAAGUAAUUGAAUACACAAUAUUUACAUAGAAAUCCCUCAAUAAAUAAGGGAAAAAACCACGAGUCUGGUAGAUAAUUGAUGAGGCAAUAAUUAGUGUUUUUAAUAUAAUAUUUGAGUCCGUUUUAUUUAUAUUUGAGUUUAUUUUAUUUAAGUUUAUUUUCUUUUUAGAAUUAUUUUACUUCAAUUGCAAGUUAUUUAAUUUCAGGAACAAAUAUUCUAAUGAUUGAGUCUUGCAGCAAAAGAGAGAGAUUUGGAGCUGAUUCGGGUUGAAAAUACGAAGAUUCGGUGCAAAAAUAUAACAUCCCCCAAGUCAGAGACUUGACAUGACCCGUGCCACUAGCCACACGGCCGUGCCAACCUUCAGGAUCACUUUUGCUGCUUUUUGCUUCCUGGGAUUAGACUUCAUUAACCAAUUUUUGCAUGUAUUCUCUUAUCAAUCAUAUAGACUCUAGUUAUUAAUCAAUAUUAUUACGUAUCACUCUAGUUACAAUAACAUUAAGAAUCGAUACUUUAAGUUAUUAUUAAACACAAAUUCAUCUCUAGAAUUUAGAGUUCAAUAUAUGGUUGAUUAUCCUAAGUCUAGAUUCUAAAAGUAUUUCCCAAUAACAAUUCAAAUCUAUAAUUUAAGCAUAAGAAAACAAGGAUAACAUCAAUAUUCAAAAACAACUAAAAUCAUAUAUUGUUAUAAUCAAAAGGAAUACAUACUAAUUUUGUCAAUUACAUCUAAUCUUAACAAAUGAGAUUUAGCUACUCAUUCUCAUGAUAACUUUGAAUAAUUGAGAAGAAAGGAAAGGAAUUGACAUCAAGUUGAUGAUUUCUCAAUAAAUAUCUACAUUUGUAUCUAUUAAUUAAAGAGUAAUUAAAAUAUUCAUUUAUUUUUUCCAUCGAUAUUCAUUAAAACAUGCAUCAUAUACCCGUGGCACAUUUUAUCGGCACAGAUACGUAUGUACGAAUUGUUUUACCAUGACAAAUAUGGACUGAGAUAUUAGUUUAUGAGUUUAUGAUGACAAUUACAAUUUGUAACAAAUAAAGCUUGAGACUGACUGCUCAAAAAAGAUAAUCUUAAGAAUGGCAGAUGUGUAAAUUAAAUACUAGUGAAAUAUGGAUUAUGGGGAUCAAAAACUCAUACCGACACCAAAACCUUCUUUCUAGUGAAAGGAACAUUUUUCAUGUUCAUCAUUAAAAGAAGAAAGAGAAAAGGAAAAGUAACAGGUACAUAACAGAAAGCGUCUAUUUUAUUUCACGGAUUAACUUCUCGUUCUUGACUACUUUCAUUCAAAUUCGUAAAAUACAUAAAAAAUAAAAAUAAAAAAAUAACAUGAAUGCAAUCACUAAAAUGAAUUUGUUAAUAUAAUAAAGUCACAAUAUCUUAAUAGCAUAAAAUAAUAAAAUGUAUAGAAAAAUGAUAAAAUGUGACUAAAAUAUCCAUGCAUCUAGGUAUUCAACAUCGACUCUUAAUUAAUUGAAUAUAUAACAAAAAAAUUGAUCUAUUAAUCUAAAUCAAAUGAACACCGAAAUAAGGUAGAAAACUAAACAACGCGCUACACUAAGAUGGCUAACAAAACCAUACUCAAAGAUGAAAUCACGGAAAAAAAAAAAAAAGGAAAGGAAACAACAAAGCAACUGAUCCUAAAGAAUAACUCAAAAUCACAUCUUUUAUAUGGAUGAAGAUUGAAAUUAGCUAAAACGUGAAGCUUCACUAAAAAAUUAGGGCGAUUCAAUGUUUUUUAAACUUCUUAAUCCUUUUAGUUUUCUAGUUUUAAAGGGCCACUUAUGUCAAUAAAAGUGAACAAGAUAGACCUUUAAUUACGUUUUUUUUUUUUUUUUUAACAAAUAUGAUCACUUUGUUGAAAAGUGUUUCCAUGAUCAUUUACCAUUGAGGUAGAAGGUUCAACAAGUGUUUAUGACACCAAACAUAUUUUUUUAUAUAUAUUUUCUUCNCCUGUUUAUGGAGUGAAGCAUAUUGAUGGAAAAGGUACAAGUGCUUAAGUUGUUGAGUGUUUUCACUCUUUCUAUCUUCAUGAAGGGACAGGUAAUCACGUCGAGGGCAUAGAGAGUGGCAGCGGCGUGAAUAUAGAAAAGCCAAGGUGGCCAAAGAGAGAGAUGAUAAGGUUAGUGAGAGUUUGUUGAGAGAGAAAGAGAAGAAAAUAAAAGAAAGAGAUAAAAAAAUCUUUGAUUUAGCUUUUUUUUUUUUAACUCUAUUGUAAAAAUUAUAAAAAAAAUAUAUUUACUCUAGCUCUAUAUUUUAUUCAAUUGAAUAAACUAUUAAUUUAUUAUCAAAAUUAUCGCUCACAUUUCAAUUUUAUCCCUAAAUUAUGUAAAUAUAUACUAUUGUCCUUAAACAUAUAACUUUUAUCCAAAUUGUUAUAGAUUGUUGUAUACUUUAAUGAUUAAAUUGACGAAUUACAUAUAAUUAAGGGAUUACUUAUUAUAUUAUAUAAUUUAUGAACUAAAUUGGAGAGACUAUGAUAAUUUAGGGGUUAAAUUAGCGGUUUGUUCUAUUUAAUUUUUUAAAUAUACAAAAAAAAAAAUCAAUAUUACAGAUAAUUGUUUUCAUGAUGAUAAUAUUUAGAAUUUAUAAAUUUAUAUUCUUAAUUUUAAAAGUAUAUCAAAUUUGUUCCAUUCUUUUCAAUAAUAAAAAAUUUGUUCCAUUAACACUGUCUAUAGACUUAUAAAAAUAAAAUAAAAAAUUGGAGAUUAUUUUGGUCUCAAUUUGUAAGAGAAAUUUAUAUAUUUUACUUAUUUAUUCCUUAAGGUGGGAUUAAUGAUCAUUUUACAAUUGUUUUAGUGUAAUUUAAACUUUAUCUUUUGAGACUACAAAGUUAAACUCUUAGUUGUAAGUUGACAACUAUAGAAAAAAUGGCNUUUGUUGAAAAGUGUUUCCAUGAUCAUUUACCAUUGAGGUAGAAGGUUCAACAAGUGUUUAUGACACCAAACAUAUUUUUUUAUAUAUAUUUUCUUCUUUUUGUUGUCAAUUCAAUCCUAAUUUUAGAGAUAAAUAUUUCAUCAAUAGGAUUAUUAAUCAAGUAAUUAAGUGAUUUUUGUUCCAAACUAUAACUAAUAAUACAUCCAUGAAUCCUAAUUUUAAAAGAGGUGAAUUUAGAUCUGCCAACUUAACAAUAAAUGACCACACAAUCAUUUUUAAAUUGAGUGUGAUAGGAAGAUGGUAAUGGUGCAUAUAUUUUACGACUUAAAGGAUUAUGUGCACAUUUUUACUAACAUAAAGAAUCAACUUAAAAUUAAAAAAACAAAAGGACUAAUAUGGUACAAACGUUAAAUUUAAAAGAUACCAUAUAAUGUAUUUAACCUAUAUUUUUAAGAGAAAUUUUUUAUUUAUGAAUUUCUUAACCAUUUAUCUGAAGGUACUAGUUAACAAGACCAUGUGUUUUUUUCUCUCCAUGAAUCAUGAUGCUGAAUGUAGCAAAGCAAUAUUUAAGCAUCACAAGCAGGGCCAUAACAUUUCCAAACACAACCCUUGCUAUUAUAGGUGUAAUUCAAUAUUCCUAUAUAAUCACGUAAUUCUUUUGAAACCCUCUUUAGUAAUUGAGGUGUGAUUAGAAAUGUGAUUGCACCUAUCUAGCAACUUGACAAACAGAACAUGUUCCAUCUUAGGGAGGCCCCAUUUCUUUAUAUAUAUUCAUGAUUUCACGUCAUUAAGCAAAUGAAUGGUCAAAUGUGACUGAUAAAUCAUCAAUAUAUACCUUCUUUGUGAAAUUUCAUUUCCAUGUUCUCACUUUCAUAAACAAGUGCAUAUAUAUGAAUUAUCAAGACCGUAUUCGCUAGCUGUACAUAAGAAUCUCACCUCUUUCUUUCAUACGAUUUUUUUUUGUUUUCAAAUUAUUGAUUUUAUUUUAUUAUUACACGUGUGCAUGCAUGUGCAUGUACACUUUGAUUAUAUAUACUUCAAUUUGGUCAAAGAAAUUAAAGUGGGAUUUUCAAAAACUCAAUUGAUUAAUCACUAAUUAAGCAAGCAUCAACUUUAUUAAAAAUUUACUGUAUAUUUAUUUAUAUGAAAAUGUUUACUUGUGCCCUUGAGACAUAAGUUAAGUAAGUAAAUAUAGAAACUUUUUUCUUAAAAGUUGUGCAUUCAAUGCUUUGAAAGUUUUAAAAAUUAUCAUUUAAAUAUUAAAUUUAUUUGUUAUUUCUAUUUUAAGAUCCUUAAUCUGUGCCCUUAGAGUACAAGUUAACAUGCCACUUAUUUGGCUAGAACACGCUCAUUAAUUUUUAUGUGGGAGUGUUUUAGUAAAGCUACUCCUUAGGGUGUAUUUAACCACUUUUUAGUUAUUGAUUUGCUAAAAUACUUCUUCUAAAAAAUAAGUGGGUGUAUUCUAGCAAAUGCCUAUAGGAUUUACUAGAACACACCCACUUGUUUUUUUUAAAAGGUGUGUUAUAGCAACAUAUACCUUAAGGUGUAUUUAUUAACUUUUUAGUUAUAACUUGCUAAAACACUCCCACAUAAAAACUAGUGGGUGUGUUCUAGCAAAACUAUAUAUAUAUAUAUAUGUUACUCCACUUACAUUUGCACCAAUCAUUGUGGCUUGAUCCCACUGAAUUUGAACCACUAGUUGAAAAAACUAAAGAGAGAGGUACACAACAUUCUCACAAAUUGAGUUAAUAUUAUCCAAAACAGUGGGUUAGGAUAACAUAAUUAAUAUUAAUUACGAUAAUAAAAAAAUGAAAAGGAAAAACUCACAUGAUUAGUCAAAUAAAACAUGAUGACAAAGAUGCAUAUCCUUGUUUCUUUAGUUUUUAACUUAUAUAUAUUUUCUUUUUUAGGCUACCAAAAAUACUUGUCACGACAGGGCCUGUUUAUGGAGUGAAGCAUAUUGAUGGAAAAGGUACAAGUGCUUAAGUUGUUGAGUGUUUUCACUCUUUCUAUCUUCAUGAAGGGACAGGUAAUCACGUCGAGGGCAUAGAGAGUGGCAGCGGCGUGAAUAUAGAAAAGCCAAGGUGGCCAAAGAGAGAGAUGAUAAGGUUAGUGAGAGUUUGUUGAGAGAGAAAGAGAAGAAAAUAAAAGAAAGAGAUAAAAAAAUCUUUGAUUUAGCUUUUUUUUUUUUAACUCUAUUGUAAAAAUUAUAAAAAAAAUAUAUUUACUCUAGCUCUAUAUUUUAUUCAAUUGAAUAAACUAUUAAUUUAUUAUCAAAAUUAUCGCUCACAUUUCAAUUUUAUCCCUAAAUUAUGUAAAUAUAUACUAUUGUCCUUAAACAUAUAACUUUUAUCCCAAUUGUUAUAGAUUGUUGUAUACUUUAAUGAUUAAAUUGACGAAUUUCAUAUAAUUUAGGGAUUACUUAUUAUAUUAUAUAAUUUAUGAACUAAAUUGGAGAGACUAUGAUAAUUUAGGGGUUAAAUUAGCGGUUUGUUCUAUUUAAUUUUUUAAAUAUACAAAAAAAAAAAAAUCAAUAUUACAGAUAAUUGUUUUCAUGAUGAUAAUAUUUAGAAUUUAUAAAUUUAUAUUCUUAAUUUUAAAAGUAUAUCAAAUUUGUUCCAUUCUUUUCAAUAAUAAAAAAUUUGUUCCAUUAACACUGUCUAUAGACUUAUAAAAAUAAAAUAAAAAAUUGGAGAUUAUUUUGGUCUCAAUUUGUAAGAGAAAUUUAUAUAUUUUACUUAUUUAUUCCUUAAGGUGGGAUUAAUGAUCAUUUUACAAUUGUUUUAGUGUAAUUUAAACUUUAUCUUUUGAGACUACAAAGUUAAACUCUUAGUUGUAAGUUGACAACUAUAGAAAAAAUGGCUAUAGCGUAUACAUUUGGAUGCUUAAAUGACCUAUUCAAAAAGAAAGAAAAAAAAUCUUAAAUAACAAAUUCCAGAAAUUUGUCAAAAAAAUAUUUUGAAAAACCACAAGGGUUAAUUUUACUCUUUCUUUUCUAAUUAUGAGGAAGGUAAGAGAAAUUACGAGAACAAUGACUUUUUCAGUUUUAAUGGUUCUUAUUAAAAUUGUGUUUGAGAUUAAAUAUGAAUAUCUGUUCUAAUUGAGAAGCUAGCAAUUCAAUUAGAUUCAAUGUUCGAGGAUAAUAUGAGGACAAUUUCAAUAUUUUAAAUGUUAUUUUUUAUUUUUUAUUGAUCAAUUUUAUGUUGAACAAGUAAAGAAUUUUUUUUUACAUUAGACUUAGGUUUUGUUUGGGAGUUUAAAGAAGAUGGGAAGGGAGGGUUUUAUGCGGUGGAAAAUAUAGGGGAAAAUGAAGAACUCUUUUAAAAAAUUGAAGAGUAUCCUUUUAAAGAAUGAUAAAUUAAUUAUUAUAAUUAUUAUAUUUAAAAUAUUAUAAUAACAUAGAUUAUAUUUGAGAAUAUAUGUAAACCCAUCAACAUCUUCAAAAACCUUCUUCCAAUACAAUUUUCAAAUUUUCCCUGAUAAAAAAUGUUUUUGUAAUAUGAAAAAGUUAAUCUCAAAAUUGUCACCUUGAAUGUUCUCUAUUUUUACCAUUUACUCAUUCUUUUUUCCAAAACUCUCCUUUUUUUUAAGAUGAACAAAACCUUAAGUUAUAAUAUCUCACUCUUGUAACAAAUGAGAUAUAAUAAUAGUUAUUAAUUUAAGGAUUAAAAACACAACAUGCAUGAUAAGAUGAUUUAGCAUGUUGAUUGGUUGUCAGACACACAUUUCUUAAGCACCCGCUUCAACAUGUUGGCAAGGACUUUGGAUAUUAGUUUAUACACCACAUUACACGACAAUCCUUCAUUGACUUCUGUUGUUUCCAUUUUAGAAUGACAACAAUGUUGGUUGUGUCUAUUGUAGGGGGAAAUUGAUUUUCAUUUAGCCAAAGUCAACUUUCUUGGAAGAUAUUGGGGUUACAUAUGCUCCAAAGUUGUUGAUAAAAUCCAGGACUAUAGCCAUCUGGUAUGGGGAAUUUAUCAGGGUGCAUAAAGAACAUGGCUUAUUUGAACUCAUGAAUGUGAGUAAGUGUCAUAAGUUCGAUUUGAUCAUUUUCAUCAACUACCGGUGUGAGAGCAUCAAUAACUCGACUAUAUACAAUAUUUUGCCCAUGGAAUAAAUCUUCAAAAUACUCUAUAGAUAAAGGGAACAUACAUGUAUCAUCAGUUAGUAUAGUCUUACCAUCUAUUUCUAAUGAUAUUAUGCGGCUCACUUUCUUUCACAUUGUUUCUCACGCUUGUAAAUUUUUUGUGUUGAGAUCACCAAUCUGAUAUCAGUGUGUUUCAACUUGUUGCAUCCAAUACUUAUCCUCCUGAAUCAACACUUUAUUCAUUUGUUGUCAUAUGGGAAGUAUGUUGUUGGGGGGUUACAAUAAUUACAUUGAUUACGACCAAAAUUCAAUGCCUUGCGACAUUCCUCUACCUCUAUUUUCACUUUGUUGUAGUUGCUUUUGCUCCAUGAACUAAAAUCAUCUGCGCAUAUCUAUAAACAGGGCAUCACUGAAUGAUGGACAUUAAUAUACCAACUCUUUGUAACAACAUCAUAGAACCUAAACUCCACAUUCCAUGUAUUCUCAUAUUUGAACUUUUGGCAAGCUCAACUCUAACUAUCUGUUCUAGAUUCACCAAAAUAGGAUAUUGGUAUGAUUUAUCAGCGACCACAUUUUCUAGUUGUGCAUUGGGGAAGAUCGAGUAUUGGUCGUCAUUAGCAAGAGCUUUAUCCAAUCACUCUCCAACUUCUCUGGAUGUACUAAUAUUCAGAACUUUACAUGGACAUGUACAACCAGGGUUCACUUUCAACAAAAUUACAAAGAAUUACAUACUUUGCAAACUAUAGCUUAUAUAAAUAAUGUGUAAGUAAUUGAAAUACCUCGCCCAACUCAAUUGUAAGUGGUCCUUCAAUGCAUGCUCUGUUAACUACCUUUCUGCAAAUGCAAAAGAUUCAGUCGUUGAAAGGAAAACUCUUCCUGCAAAAAAGAAAGAUAAUGCCAUAAAGCUACUCAGACCAAUACAAUAAUAAUAUUGAUACUAUCAAAACCUCAACUUUCAAGCACAAGAAGAAUUAAAGUUAAAAUAAACAACUUAUUUGCAGCUUACAACGCAAAAUCUUAUCAUGAUAAGCUCUACAUAUGCUAUUUACUAUAAUGAAAGGUAAAUAAAGAUAAAUUGUUUUUGAAUAUACUAUAAGCUGUUUUAAUAAGCAGCAAGGAGAAGUUAUGAAAAUAAGCUGAAAAAGCUUAUGAAAAAUGUCAUAAGUUGUUUUCAUAAAUUCUUCCAAACAGUGUCACAAAAUUUAUGUGAGAAUCGCAUACACGCGCGCAAUAAGGGAGGGGAAAGAAAAACCGAUAAUGAAAAAAAGAAACCCUGAAUGGAGUUUCUUACUGUUUCUGGCGGCCGAUGACCAACUCCGAUGGCAGGUUUUUGGCAGGUCAACGGCGGCGGAGGUGGUGGCGACCGACGGUGGAGGAAAAGCAGAUGAUGAUGGUCGUGGGUUUUGUUUUUAAGUGAAAGUAAGAAGAAGAAAAACCAGAAUGGAACAGAUUUGUUGUUGUUUUGUUUCAUUUGAAUUUUUUUUAAAGGAUGUGCCACAUGGGACAAUAUGACAUAGCGCCCCAUUUAGAGAUGGCAACGGGGCGGGUUUGAGUACCCCAUUCCCACCCUCGCUUCCAUGCAUCCGCCCCCGUCCCCAAACUAUAUUGUGGCUAAAAAUUGAACACCCAACCCGGCCAUCAAUGGAGACGGGUCUCCCGGCCCUGCCCCAUCUCCACCCGGAGAAAAUAAGUUACACCGGAAAGAGUAAGCAUGAAGAAGAAUGCUUCUACUAUGAGCCAUGUUACUGCCCCCUUUCAGGUUGUGACUUUGUUGCAUCAUCAGAAGUGUUGUCAAACCAUUUCAGCUUUAAACACAGGGAUUCUCAAAUCAAAUUUUCGUAUGGCCACUCCUUCAUUGUCUCCUUGAAGUCUAAAGUUGAAACCAUUGUUCUUCAAGAGGAAAAUGAUGGCAAACUAUUUAUUCUCAAUAAUAGUACUAUGAGUUUAGGAAAUGCAGUUAAUAUUUGUUGCAUUGGUCAUAACUCUUUUGAGUCCAAGUAUAGUUAUGAUAUAUUGGCUAGGUCUGAGAUAUGCAAAUUGAAAUUACAGUCUUUUGUGAAAUACUUCUAACGGUUUACUUUAUUAACUCUUUCAUGAGAGUGCCUUGUGAUUCCAUUUGGUUCUUUUGAACCACCUCAUAAGCUAGAUAUUUGCAUAACCCCCAUGGUACCUCCUAUCUCCUUUUCUUUUGAACCACUUUAUUUCAGAGAAAUUUAUGGUUUGGGGAUCAUCCAGUUUGUCAACAGUUCCUAGUCCUCGUUAAUUUGGCUGCGGACAAGGAAGCUACAACAUCUCAGGUAGUUGAACAUGAUAAAGACUGCAGAAUUGAAAUUGGAGUUGGCUUAGAAAUUUGUCACGAGAUGAAGAAGAGCGAAUGGCUGUUCUGAUUGCAGCACUUGCAGCAGUGCAGGUACGGGAAGGUGCGAUGGACGCGUACAAAUGAAUGCUGGACGAGAGUAAAGGGUUCUUGGUAAAAGGUUGUUAUGAACUGCUGUCACAUCUGUGUUUUUCUGCAUAGUUUGAUGCUUAUUUUUUGGCAGCCGUGCAGCACCUGUGGGAUUUGUCAGUGCCGUCAAAAAUCGCUUUAUUUGGUUGGAGACUAUUGCAGGAUAUGCUUCCAGCCCAGAUCGAAUUACGGAGGAGAGGGGUCAUUCACAUUCAUAACUUGCAUCAACAGAGCUGCUUCAUUUUAUGUUUUGAGAAAUUGGAAUCAGCAAGUCAUUAAUUUGCAAAUUCCACAAAGACAUGUGGGAUUAAAUUUUCAAAACGGUUGGAUGGAGUAGUGAAAUAGUUAAUAGUUUUUUUUAUGUUUAAUUCAAUUGUAGCUGAUUCUCUAUAUCAUUGUAGCUGUAAACUGUUUUGGAGCGGCUUUGCACAUCUUGUGCUAGUUUUCUCUCGUGAUCAAUAAAAUUUAUAAAAAUAAAAUAAAAAAUAGCAUUUGUAUUAUUUAUUUUGGUCAACUCUUAAUAAAAUCAAAUUGUCAAAAGUUUUGAUUCCGGAAACAUGGGAAAAGAGACUCUAUGAGAGUGAUGUUGGCGCAUGAGAAGUGCAGCCGUUAUGGUGGAGUAAUGUGGUGGGCUGGUGGCACCGCCAACCACGCCUGCCUGAGAUCAGCGGUUCUAUCGGUGGUACAACACUGAUUGCAAUAAUAUAUAACUUGAGACAAUUUCUUAGAAAGGUUUGCAAAGAAGCUAUCUAACGUCAAUUUAUAAUCAACACAAGCAAUAUUUGUUUAAAUCAAGUCUAAACAUUACUGCCCAUUGUAGAUUGAUUCAUAAGCCUUAAUCAAAUAAAUGAACUAGAGUGGUGAAAAUCAUGAAAAAACAUGAAACAAAAUUGGGAUAAAUUUCUAAAAGGAAAAAAAAAAGGAAAAUAGCUCUAGGGAAAGCAAUAAGCAAUAGCAGUCAACAAACAACUACGGAAAGCAAUCACCAAUUUGAGCACCGAUAUUUCAUCAACAUCAAGUACUUGCUUCUCUGUGCCAUAAUGGGGCUAGACAUGGCAACAAACCCCACCCUCGCCAGAUCCGACCGUCCCCGCUCUGAAUUUAACAGGGAAAAGCCGAUUUAACCGGGUGCGGGUGUGGGGGAAAUUUGGAUUUUUAGUACGGGGGCGGGUCCAGAUGCAGAGAUGCUUACACCCACCCCGCACCCUCCCCCGCCCCGCACCCGCUUUUUAAAAUUUUCUUUGUUAAACUUUAUAAUCUUAUUUUCAUAAGCACCAACCUAUUUUAAUAUAUUAUUACUCUUUAGAAACAUGUUUAUUAUAAUCAUUUUGCUUUUUUGAAAAAAAAAUUAUUAGAUAAAUAAUUAUUCAUAUAAUUAUUGUGUUUUUGUUGGUAGAUUCUAGGGUGAGGUUCUAUUAAGUCCCUCAUCGGUGUACUAUUUGAAUUAGCCGUUAAUGAAAAAAAAAUGUACAUGAUAACUUUAGUCACAAAUAACACAAGAUUAUGCUUUUUCUCUCUAACGCUCCAUGAAACCACCACCGGUUCCAAAUCAUCAUCUUCUCCCAAAUCACAAAAAUUUAAUCCUUCAUUCUCUUUCAGUUUGUUUCCCUUAAAAAAUGACUGGAUUCAAUAAAUUUCGUUUUACCACUCUUAUCUUCCAUUACCCAUCCGUCUUGUAGGCUUCUUUUUUAAUAUUAAUAUAUCUUGUCAAAGUCUUAAAAUUUUGUUAUGGGUACAAUGAAUUUUAAGAAAUUUUCAAUCUUCUCUCAAAAAAAAAUAAAAGAAAUUUUCAAUCUGAAACUGAUUUUAAUGUAAAGUUUUGUGACCAUGGAUACAAUGAAUUAUGUUGGUAGUGCUAAGACAAUCAAAAUCCCUGAUAUGCUAACAUUUAUUAUGGUUGUUUCCAACAUUUUCAAUACGAGAGGAAUUGGGUGAAAGAGGCAUAAUAGAUCAGUUUAAGAGAGAAAAAAAAUGUAGGCUGUGUCGAGUGAAUGGAAAAAGAGCAGCCGCAAGGAGAGUGACUGGCUAUAAAGGGGGAGAGAAAAAGCAUAAUCCAGUGGUUUGUCACUAAAGAUAUCAUGUACCCUUUUUUUAUCUAACAGUCAAUUUAAACGGUACAACGGUGAGGGACUUAAUAGAGCCCUCACCCUAGAAUCCACCGUUUUUGUUGCUAUGAAAAAACGAAAAAAUAUGCAUUUUUUAAAUAUUUUAUAAAAAAAAUAAAGAUUUUGCGCACUACUACAAAAUAUACAUUUAACAUCAAGGGGGUUUUAGUUUUCACAUCAGCACGGAAAAUAUCUAAAUGGAAAGAUACACACUAUGAGUUUUUACAUCAGUUGACAUAAACACAUUAAGGGAAUUCCUAAUAGCAUAUAAUAUUUACAUAAGUACAUAAUUGAAAUGAAGGGAAAAACACGCGGUGGCAUUUUUGCAAUUUAAGUGAAAACUUUGACUAACUUAUUCACAUCAGUGGUUAGAAGUUAGAACUACCUGAAGUCAAAACAAAUUUUCACCCUUAUCGUUUCCUCCAUCUGUAAAACGCAUCACACGUUGUAUCAUUUUCACUCAAUCAAAAAACGCUCGCUUUGCUGUUCAAUCGGAACACUCGCCGUCCAAGCCCUUGGCUGUUCAAUCGAAUCCUCUCAAUCGGUGAGUUCUCUCUCUCUAUCUCUCUGAAUUUUCAAUUGAAACUCUAACCCCUUUGUUGUUAAAAAAAAAAUCGUGAAACCCUAAUCCUUUUCAAACAGUGGAACACGAUUUGAAUAUGAAUUGGGUUUUAUGAGUUUCACGUGUUUGUUGGUUUGUUUGUCAGAUUUGAUGAAAUAAAAAUUUUGUAGCUUAAAUUUUGAACUGGGUGUUCUUAUUGAGGUUCAGUUGUUUGUUAGAUUUGAUGAAGAUACAAUUGUACUUUUUUUUUGCUGCUUGAAUUUUGAAUUGGGUGUUUUUAGGAUUUGUUUAGUUUUAGGUUUCAACCAUAUAAAAUGGUUAGGGAAAAAAGAGUCAACUACUCUGUUUAAUUUUUUUAUCAGUAGCAAUGGAGUUCAAUAUUCUGGGAUUUACAAGUCCACUUGACAUGAAAUUAAGAACAAAAGAAAAAAAAUUAUGCCAUGAAAUUAGGAAUAAGUUUUAGUUCUUUGUACCUUGCUGCAGAUUUGUUACUUAGUUUUAUCAGGACAGAUUUUAAGCCAUUAGUGUAGCUCUAUUAUUGGAAAGUAGUAAUAAGGAAUAGUCUAUAUAAUGUAAAUACAUUGUACAAUUGUCACCAUAUAAUGAUGUUUAAGAUAUUUCCUUUCAACUAACGGUAUAUUUUCCCUAGUAAGUAAUAACAACCAGAGUAGGAGAUGCCUGACAGGACAAGUGACUUGAAAAUGUAACAUAUAUAAUUAAAUUAUUGAAUGAGGAAUUGAGUGUAUUUAAGGUACAUAUGUGAUAUAUUGAGUACUCAGGCUUAAUUUCUCAUGUUUUUUAAGGAUAGAAUAUAAAUAAGCAUUUAAAUAGGUUUUAGAGGAAGACCUAAGAAAACCAUUCGAGAAACCAUUAGAAAAGAUUUAGAGGUCAAUGAGUUGGAUUCAAAUAUGGUUUUUGAUAGAACACUAUGGUGGCAUUUGAUCCAUGUAGCCGACCCCACUUAGUGGGAUAAGGCUUGGUUGUUGUUGUUGUUGUUGUCGUUGUCAGGUAUAACUUCUCAGACAUAACUUCUUCAGGGCACAACUUGAAAUAAAACUAGAAUGCUGGGAUGGUUUAGUUUGAAGCUGUAGCGUUUUAGGACCUUGACACUUGACAUGUUCACUUGUUUAUCAUGUUUGUUUAUCAUAAGAGUGUUAAUUUCUCCUAUUAUAUUUUAAAUAUUUCAAUGUAAUUGUUUUUAUGAUUGAUGAUUUAUUCUGUAACAAAUAUGAUAAAGNNNNNNNNNNNNNNNNNNNNNNNNNNNNNNNNNNNNNNNNNNNNNNNNNNNNNNNNNNNNNNNNNNNNNNNNNNNNNNNNNNNNNNNNNNNNNNNNNNNNGGAUCCUUUGUAGCCAUCAAUGAAGAUACUAGGCUAGUUAACUUCUCUACCUCAGCCCGAAGUGUUGUUACCUCUCCACGAAGCUCGUGGACCUCUUGCUCAAGUCGAUCCAUUUUUCCUGUUUGCACGAGUGUCUGCAUAUGCGAGCCGAACUUGGAUGAAGACAUUGAACUACAUUACUGAUGGAUUGACCUUUUGUUGGUGGAAACAAAAUAUGAGACACGGACUAGAAACUAUGAAUGCAAAAUGAUGCAUGAUAUGCUUAUGCAAAACUAGAUUUUUUUAGAUUUUUUUUUUUUGAAGGACUUAUCAAAGUGAAUUGUAAACAUUGUAGAGGAACAUGGCUUCAUUUUGAACAUUGUAAAGACGUUGCAAACGGUUCCUUUUUCAAAAGGUAAGAACAAAACCAAUCUUAGUUAAGAUUUUUGAAGUUGUAUAUCUUGGUGUUCAUUCUUACAAGGUCCAUAUCCAUAAUGUUUGCAAAAAACUUAUCUAAGUCCUUCAAUUUUUGAUGGAAAAAUAUAUAUAUACGAAUGAAUGCAUGUAUGCAUGGUUAUACUAAAGUACAUUGAAUACAUGAGGAGGUUAAGUUCCACAAUGUUGGAGCCGAGGGCAACAACGCCAUUUGGUAAGGACUAUGGUUUCAAAUGUACCUGUAUCACGGGUUCUACCAAGUUCCCAAAUUACAACUUCCCUUAUGAACAUAUCAGUGCAUAGGACCGCUCCUAGUCCAAUAACAUCCAUAAGUAAGUCUAGUUUGAGUGUAGUAUCGCGUGUCGACCAAAGUCAAGACUGCUCUUGGUUUUGCCACCGCACUACGUCCUAAAAAGGCCAAGAUGGGUUAAGGGUGAUCUAAAGGUCCUCAACGUUUAGCGGACUUCAAAAAUAAUAACGCCAAUCACGACUGCUCAUGACGACAUAUUAUUACUUUUGAAAGACCUACGUUGAGUGGAGUUACAUCACGUGUACACAUAUCGCAGGACCGCUCCUGGUAUGGCACUAUGAUCGUACUCCGCCCUAUCUUAUGUUUCACUCAAGUCCGGGUGUAGGACUUAUCUCACCACUCACGUAACACAGUAUGUAAGCAAAUAUGUACAAAGCAUAAACAAAUAGUACAACACAAAAUAAAUAAAAUAAGGUGGGUUUAACCCGCGUAGAAUUUAAGUCCCCAGUGAAGUCGCCAUUUCUGUGCUCGUGAUUUUCGGAUAUCAAACCAUUAAUUGAUUUGAAUCGUCGAUCUUUGAACUCUCGAUUUUUAUUCGUGGGAAGGAAAAAAAUGAGUAAAAACCCUCAUCGAGACUUUGGAUUCGGGGGUUGGUUAUGCGAAGGGAAGGUGCUAGCACCCUAAGCAUCUACGGUAUUCCGUAGGAACCUCUUACCCUAAAUUAUCUUGUGCUAAAUUCAUUGCUUAUUUGAAAAUUAACUACCUAAAAAUCUAAGUGAAAGAAUGGGGGAAGAAGAAGCAUGUUUUUGGUUAUUUUUAUUUGAUUUGGAAGGAUACAAAUCCCAUGCCUACAUACCCUUGAAGAGAAGGGAUCAAAACCAAUGUAGUUCACCUAAAAAGUUUCUUUUUGGUGGGUUAGGUUGAUUUUAAGAUUUUUUGAAAAUGGUUUUAAGAAAGGAUAAGAGGCCUCGAGGCAUGAGAGAAAAUAAGAUGAGGUUGGUCAAAUUUUAAUUACAAGAAAAUCAAGUCUAUUAUGAAUAUUAAUUCAAUUAAGCAUUUGAUUAAGAAAAUAAAAGGAAAAAAAGGACACUUGGGUUACAAGCCAAGGUUUAUUAAGAAAAUAUUUUUGAACUUUUGACAUAUUUGAUUUUUUUGGGAAAAUGAUUUUUUCUAAACUAACGGUAAAAACUAACAUAACGGCGCAACGUCGCAAGAAAUAAACGUGAAGCGUCGGUGCAAGUGUCGGUGCUUGUGUUACCUACAUUAUUACAUCAAUUCCUAGAUACAUUCUAUGGUCUCAAGAGGAAUAUAAUAACGAGAAAUAAAUAAAAAUGCACAAGAUAAAUUACAUCAAUUUCCUAAUUAUACACACUAAAAAAAAAAAAAAAAAAAAAAAAUUAACGACAAUAAAAUGACAAGAAAUUAAAAUAUGCAUGAGAGGAUUCUAAAUAAAAUAAAAAUGGCAAUUAUAAAAUAAAAACAGUAAAUAAAAGUCAAAACAAACACCAUAUUUUUGUAAGUUUUUUUAGAUAAAUUUUUUUAGCAAAAGGGGUGCAGAAAGUAAAGAACAGAGGUGUGAUUAACAAAACUGUAGUGAAUAAAAAAAAUGGGCUUUAAGCAGAAACGGGUCGUGGGCGGGUCGGUUAGACCCGCCCGGUUCGAAGUCAUAUAAAUAGGGUGUAUGACCCAUUUUCUCUCAUUUUUCCCAUUCAUUUCUCUCUCUUCUUUCUCCUUCUUCUCCGUUCUCUCUCUUUUUCUUUUCUUUUUUCAUGAGUUUUCCGGCGCGGUGGCCGGUGGUGCACCACCGUGCCGGAGUUUUCAAAACACUCCUUUUUCAAAAACAAAUUACCUUUUUAAACAUCCUUUUUUCUCCUCAAUUCAAAUAUCUACUUAGUUUUUACAAACAAACAACCAAAACUUCUAGAUCUAAAUUCAAAUUUUUUAAAAAUCUUUUGAAACAAAACCUACAAACAGUCCGGAUUUGAGCUUCUAUAUAGCAACAAAUAUGAAAUACUACCUUAAAGCCUUGCAAAAAGGAUGGUUCGGUGAGUUCCUCUCCUGCUCCGGUUCGGUUCAGCGCGAGCUUUUCCACUCCGGUUCGUUUCAGCGCGAGCUUUUCCCCUCCGAUUCCGUUUGUACUUUGUUCCGGUUUGGAGGAUCUUGGUUCUGAUCUGAGAUACUAUGACUUAUGGAAAUUCGGGGAUGAGAUUAGGGUUUUGGAUGAUAUGACUGCGGCUGAAAAAGUCUCGGCUGCGUGAACAGUGCCGUUAGGGUUUUCUUUCUUGUUGCUGUUUUUGGUUGUGGAAUUACUCUGUUUUUCUUCUUUGUUUGCGGCUAAGGUUUUUUUCUGUUUGCGGCUGUGGAAGAUUGUCCGUCCUUUCUUCAUUAUGCAGGUUUUAAUUUAUACCACUAGGGUUGAUGGGAAAAAGGAAACAACAUGCUGAAUUUGGAAACAAAAGUUUGACAAUCUGCCUGAAUAUUAGGCGUGUAAAAAAAUAUUUUUGGACCCCUGUUGGGAUUUUUUUUGGACUCAUUGACAUUAUAACACAAAACAGAAAAUAAAUUAAAGUAACUAAUUUUAAAAUCAAAACUAAUAAAAGAGGAAAUUAAAUACCGAAAUAAAAAAUAAAAUAAAGAGAGAAAAGGGUCCGACUCAGAAUAAAAAAUGAGGUACUUCAAAGUAAUCUUUUGUCGAAAUUUCGUCUGAAACGACGAAAAUUUCCGACUUUAAAAAUACGAAUAAAAUGGAUAAGGAUAGAGAAAAGUGGUCAAAAUUUGGGGUAUGACAAUGAAAAAUGCACCAAAUGAAUAUGCAAUAAAAAAGGGGUAAAAACAUGAGAAUUUAUCAAGCACAAUGUGUAAUAAAUGGCCUAUAAUGCAAGCACAAACACAAACCAAAUGAAAACAGCGGCACAACCGUUGAAUUAUCAUCACAUCUAUCAUGAAAAUGCGUUCUAAUUAGCCAUGUUAUGCACUAAAAUUUUUAGGACAAGAAUCAACCUGAAAAACAUGAAAAAGCUAACUAGAGAAGUAAAUUGAACAAGAGACCUAUGCACAUAUUUUUACCAGUUAUUUGCAAGCAAAAUAUCAUUAAAAAUCAUCAAGAAAGUGAUAAAAACAUGUAGUAAUUUUUUAGAAUUUAUGGUAAAAAUCAGAGCAAUCAGAGGUGCAGGCAGUAUGCAAGAAUGGUGUUAAUAGCAGAAAAACAAAGAAACACAACAAGAACUAAGCCCAUACCCAAGCCCAAACGCGCAUAAAACCUGCUAAAGAUGGACUCACAGGAGCCGUUAGAUCAAAGAUCUAACGGCCAGCAAUGAAGGCGCAUGGUGGGAUCACACUAACGCGCGCACAGAGGAUUGAUAGGGGGUAUAUAAGCUUAGCACAACACAGGGAAAUCAUUCUAACCCUAAUUUUCUUCUUUACAGCCGCGGCCAACUUCCUUCUUCUUCAUCCGUAAAAACAAAACUCCAUAACACAAAGCACACACCUUCAAGAUCGUGAUUUAACCACAAAAUACCAGGAAUUUCUUUCAUAAAACAAAACAAACACACAAAACGCAUCCACACAUAUCAGUAACGAUUGGUUUCAGCAAAGGAACAUUCACGGCCAUACAUCACCGGUGACGAGUGCUAGCAUGCAAACAUGUGAUUUUGAUAUGAUGAAAUGAAAUGGACAGCGCAGAUGUGCAUGAACAGCAAGGCCAAUCGCAGAUCUAAACAUUGAAAUUGCAUAACUCAGUUCAGGAGAGUGGUACCUGAGUUGGAUCGGAGGUAUGAUGACGGUUUGCGCGCAAACAGCUUCGAUCUGGCUUGGUUUCUCCGUCGUUGAGCUUUUCAGCUCCGAUGAUGAUUCCGCCGUGAUCUGGAGUUCGUUGUGAACCUUGUGUCUUGAUCUGGACUGCGAAUCUCGUCGUUGAGCUUUAGGCUUCGACGGAGCUUCGCGGUGUCGAGGGCUUCGCCGUCGAGCUUCUUUUUGCUCCGACGUGGUUCUGACGCUGGCGUGGUUCUUCGUCGUUGAGCUUUUAGCUCCGGUGAGGUUCCUGAAUGGCUUCGUUGUUGCUUUGUUUACUUCAAGGAUGAAAAUCCAUCACUCUUCUCCCUUUCUUCUCCUUCGCUAUCGCGCGAAUUUCUUUGAAUCUUGCUGCGUUCUGAGCUUGAUUGUUGAUUUGUUUUGGAUUCUGUUUUGGUACCACUUGAGAUCGUUGCGGUUUUGGUUGUGUUCUUGUUGAAUUCAGUGCCAAGUUUUGCUGGAUUUUGUGGAUUAUGAUCAGUUUCAAUGGUGGAUCGCGGUUGUAACUGCUUCUGCCAUUGAUGAGCUUGAAGCUUUUUCUGUUGAUUCUGUUUUUGAUCUAACAGAAAAGAGAGAGAAAAUAAUUUAUCUGUUUUUGGUGAGUUGGCACUGGCUUUCGAUUAUGUGGCACUGUGAACAGUAUUUAUAGCUGAUGUGUGAGUGAUUGGACCAUUAGAAAGCUGACAUGUGGCAUUGGACUGAAAAAGGGCGCUGCCCUGUAAUUUGACUUGAAGGACCUGUUUGCAAAUUUGAAAAAUAUAUGGAUUGGACUAAAAAAUGAAAGUAAGGACUGAAAUGAAAUUAAAAAUUAUUUGGACAAAAAAUGCAAUUUUGGGACCUCAAUUGAGGGACCAAAAUGCAAUUAAAAAUAAAAUUGAAUAAAAAACGUAAUUUGACCAAACGUAAAGCGAAACAAAAGUAAAAUCGACAAAACGGACUAAAACGAACCAAUGGCCUAAAUGAGGUACUUCAAAGUAACCUCUCUAUGCCAAAAUUUCGUGUGAAAUGACCAAAAUGCCCCUAGGGCUAAAAAUGACCUAAACUGACUCAAACAGACUUGACACUGACUCAGACGCAAGUUUGAAAUGAAUUUCAACAAGGUUUACUGAUGAAAUGUUAAAAAAUUCUGAGAAAGACUCAGAGACAGUCACAAGGAUGAAAAUGGGUCCCACUGCAGGAAAUGACCAAAAUACCCUUCUGUACGACUUUUUGCAAAUUUUGAAAUAAACUGUAGAAAAAGCAAUGUAAUGAUUCAGAGACACUUUUGAAUGACUUAUAAGACAAGUAAAGACAUUUCGAAAGGUUUUAUGCAAGAAAAACAUAGGUAAAAUUGUGAUUGAAAAUACUGCGAGGCAGAGACAAUUUGAACUGUGCAGUUGAAAUUUGAUAAUUGACAAAGUUUGAAAUGAAAUUGGGCCCAGUAUUUUUAGGUCCAAAAACAGGGUAUAACAGACAUGUUUUUUUUAAACAUAAUCAUUCAAAUCACAAAUCAAAAUUGGCGCAAAUUCACACAUUAAUUACACCAACAUUUUUACCAUUAAAGAAAGUAAGAUAUCCCAAUGAAAACUAAUGUCAUCAAAAUACGAACAUACAAACCAGUGUCAUCAAAAUACCAAAACUAAAAAACAAGUCAUAAACAACAAUCUAAAAGUAAUCAUAUUCCUGGUCCUGGUUCUGAUGUUGUUGUUGCCGCCUCCUCGGCCUCUGGCCUUGCCUCUGUGUCAAUAUCGACGCGAUCUGCUCCCUAACAUGGCUCAUGGCCUGAAAUCAUUGCUGAGGGCUCAUGACCUCCUCCUAACCCAUUUGUGCAUCAGCGUAGGCAACAGCGGCACUAACCAUGUCAUAGGUAUCAGGCGAGCUUCUCGCCUCAUACCGCUCUCACUGUUGUGCAAUGAUCUACUCUUCCUCAGAAGAUCUCCUGGAAGAGGUGGAAAAAUCUGAAGGUGAGACAUCGUAGUGUACCAUAACACAUAGUCAUCCCUCAUCCACCAUGUUUCCUCACCUCAAUCGGGCUCCUUGAGCGUGUGAGUGCGGUAGUCAAGGAUUGUCUGCACAAUCUGAGGUGGUCGCAGCUCUACAACAUCCGUCGGAUGUCUAGGGACGGUCUCGACAUAUCCGUACAGCCGCAAAACUCUCUCAGGCAAGUGACGAUACACCCUAAUAACACUGCACAUAACCUAGCCUGAAUAACAUAAAAUCUCCUCAAAACCCUGGAUCUCCCUGUGCUAUUCAUACGACCUUCAGCAUACGUCAUCAAACUGCAAAUAAUCAAGCAAUGACCGAUACAUCACCCCCCUACUCCAUGUCCCUUCAGUAACGUCCACUUCGUUGCAACCGGAUAGUUUUCAAUAUAGUUGGGAUUUGGAUCAACACUGUAAAAGUCAGGAAAAUGCGCCAAAAAAACAUCCGUGCACAAAACAAACAAAUAACAUUUAUAAGUUAUUACGCACGAAAAAUAUAACAAAAAAAUAAAGUUAAGGUUCAAAUGUGACAAUUUCUUACAGUGAGCAGUGUGACGCUUCCCCCAAGAGCUCUGUCUUUAGGCAAACAGGCCUCAACUAAACAGUGGUAUAGGUAUGUCAAUGUCAUCCCUCUCUAAGAAUAAUUACGCAUUCCCGCGUAGCCGUUCUACAUGGUCUUCAGAUAGACCAACUUGAUGUGUUUGUUUCUUUUAUCACCAAACAACAAGCAUCCAACAAGAUAUAGGAGAUAACACUUCACACAAGCAGUUCUAACCCUCUGCAACUCCUCUAAAUCCCCUGGAUCUGCAAAUAUGGUAGCCCUAUCAAGGUACCUCGUAUAAUACUCCCUCAACGACUUAUAACUAAUGUAAUCACCAUUCUCUUCACCGCAAUUUUUCUCUACAUCGACCUGAGACACACCUAAGUGCCUCACCAUCAGUUCCGCUCCCUCAUGUCGAGAAAUCUUCUUCGGAUGGCUCAACAUCCGCCCUUCAAUCGGAAGAUGCGUAAGACUUGUGACAUCAUCCAAAGUAAUAGUCAUCUCCCCCAAGACCAUGUGAAAACUACUCGUCUCGGGGUGUCACCUCUCGCUUAAAGUCAUCAGCAAAGUAUGAGGCACGGUGGUGUAGCCAGAUAAACCAAAUCAUGUAACCUGCUCUCCCUAUGCAGAUGCCAAAACCAAUCUUGAUUAUCGUUUGGACGCUGGAGACUCAAAAUCUUAGCCCCAUGAUUAAUCGAUUUUACAACACGCACCUUACGAACCUGAAAUAAUAGAAAAAUAAACAUAUUUUAAAGAACUUAAACAAUGUAAAUAUUUAACUAAACAAAAUAAAACUUAACACAUGUAAAAAUAAAAAUCACAAAUUUAAAUUGCUACACGUAUUUUUAAUUUAAGACAUAACACAUGUAAAACUUAAAAAAAAUAUAACAAAAACAAUUUAAAACAUAAUUAAACAUAAAGAAAAUAAUUAAAGUUGAUAGAAAGAAAAUAAUUAAACAUAAAUAAAAUAAUUAAACAAAAACACAUAUAAAAGUUGAUAUAAUAAUGGCUUAAUUGCACUUUUGGACCCCUAUCUUUCCAAAAGUUGCGGUUAUGGAACCCUAACUAAUUUAAAUACAAAACAGCCCCCUAUGUUUUGAUUCUUUGGCAGUUUUGGACCCCCAAGGCAAAAAAAAAUAAAAAUGACACGUGACACCUCACUUAGGGUGCCACGUCAGCGUUGCCCGAGUCAACAAUGGACUGGGGGUCCAAAACUGUCAAAGAAUCAAAACAUAGGGGGCUGUUUUGUAUUUAAAUUAGUUAGGGGUCCAAAAGUGCAACUUUUGAAAAGAUAGGGGUCCAAAAGUGCAAUUAAGCCUAUAAUAAUUAAACAAAAACACAUAAAAAAAUUUAAAACAUUUAAAUUGUGUUGCAUAUGAUAAUUUUAGACAAUUAAAAAUAACACUUUCGUUAUUAGAAUUAUACCAAAGUGGCAAUGCCACAUGGUUAGCAUAAGAGUGCAACAGAGAUGUAUUUUUCGGUCCUCCAUGAAAGGGAGGCUGCAAAAGUAACGUCGUUGGGGCAGCCGCUGCUGCAAUGUCAUCCUGGUCUGGUAUAUGUUGCUCUAGUAUAUGCUGCUGGUCAUAGCCACCACCAUCAGUGACAUCGUGGUGUACCUGAUCCUGAUAAUUUAGGUACUCCAACUAGGUCGGGUCAACCACGUGUGACUCUUCAGGUUGUGUAGCCUGAGAAAUCCCUGAACCAUCCCCCCUCCGACCUCUUUCCCUAUUCGAUAUAUGUGCGUUUUUCCUCUCCUUCUGGUGACUUUGUGUCAUAGCACGCCUACCACCAAUUAUCUUAGAUGGAUCAAUCGGCUGCCCCUGGUCUUGAUCAGACAUAUCUGCACAAAAAAUUAAAAAAAAAAUAACAUCAUUCAACUUAUAUGUAAAUAAUCAAACACAUUAAACCUAAACUAAACUAAACAUAAACAUUCACAUUCGGUGAAAAUCAAAACCACAUUAAUUCAACCUAAUUCAAUAUACACUUUAUCAAAGCACAAUAAACAUCAUUUCCAUAACCUAAAAUCAUUCAAUAUAAUCAUCAUUUCAAUAUAAUUUGUGUGCAUCAUUUCCAUCAUAACCUAAACUAACUAAAUAAUCAAUAAUCAAUAUACACUUUAUCAAACUAUAAUUAACAUCAUUUCCAUAACCUAAACUAACUAAAUAAUCAAUAUAAUUAUCAUUGAGGCAUUUUAUCAAACACUUUGUGUGCAAAGUAUCAAACAGAUUCAAAUUGUGUUCAUUUGGCAUCAUUCAAAACCACAUUAUCAUUAAACAUCAUUUAAACAACAUAGGCAACAACUACAUUCAUUUAUCAAUUCAUAAACUACCCAUGCAAUGUUCAAAUUGUCAAUUCAUUCAUAAACCCUAACCACAUGCAAACUACUUAUAUUUUUAAAAAAACUUAAACUAAACAAACUAACAUUAUGAUUAAAAUGAUUGAUGCAACUUACUUGUGAUAAUGUGUGGUUGAUUUGCUUGCAAUUCGUGAAAAUGGCUUUGGUGAGAAUGGGAGAGAAUUUGAGAGAAGUUUGAAGAAAAUUGAAACUGAAAUGGCUUCUCGUGUUUCUAUUCCUGUAUAAACCUGCAUCUGCGCAGUUAACUGCCGAUGGAACCGGUGGUAGUUAACUGCUGAAGUUUUCCUCAGUAGUUAACUGCAGUCGGUUAUAUUUUCCUCGAUAGUUAACUGUAUAAGGGUGUUUUGGUAUUUUACAUGUGUUUUUCAGCCCUAUUAGAUAUGUAUAAAGCAACUUUCAUAUGCUCUUUUGACCAUCAUUGGUGCUGAUUAGAGACGUGCAAAAAGCAAUAAGUGCAUAGACUAUUCUGAUGGACCGAGAAUGGGAAGCCCAACUCAUAUUAUUAUAAGAUGAUUUCUUUUUAAACCCCCUAAUAUCUCUUUUGACCGAAAAAUGUGUUUUAGGAAGUUAUAUCCCCGAUAUGUUAAAAUAAAUAAAAAAAUAUCAAAAUCUUUCUUUUUGACAUCCAUUGUUUUCUAGAAACACAUGGAAAUAACCAAAAAUCCACCGUAAUUAACUACCAUCGAUUUUCUAAUUAUAAGCCAGCGGUAAUUAACUACCAUUGGGGUGUUUUUGGUCAUUUCCUUGUGUUUCUAGGAAACAUUGAAAGUUUAAAAAGCAAUUCUCAAAAUAUCGUAGACAACUUUAUGAGGUCUGAAAAGCCUAGCUCUUUCCCCAAGAUGCAAAGGAGCUAAAUCUUAGGGGGUCAAAAUUGUAGUUUUUACACUUAGGAGGCCAAAAUUGCAAGUUUUUAAAAAUUAAGGGUGGAAAAGUGUGCUUUAACCUUUUUUUUAUUGUUAUUGGUGAUGCAAAAGGUGUUACAAUAAUAUUACAUUUUGCGAUAUUUUCUUAUUGUUACGAUAAUACUAAAAAAUGUAACUAAAUCUCUUUAGUAACAAGGACUUAUCUAACAAUUGUUUAAAUGUUACUAAAUUUAAUCAGUAACAUUUUCCUUGAUUUAGUUACAAAUAUUACUAAAUGUCAUUGUUGUAAUAGUGUCUCUUUCUCGAGAUUUAUCUAGGGGCAACAUUUAUUCAUCUAUUUAAGAGUUACAAAAUUUGAAGUAUUUUUUGUUGUCAAAUGUCAUGCUCCUCCUGCUUCAAUUACUCUUCAUUUUUAUUGGAUUGUCCCUCCUUCUAAUUGGAUUAAGUGAAACUUCGACAGAGCUUCUAGGAGCACUUUUAGGGUUGUUUAGAGAUAGCAAUGGUUCUUUUCAGCAUUAAGCGUGUCUGAUUUCAUCCCUUAGUUGUUUGAAACUAAAAAUAAUCAACUUAAAGAAAACAAAAGCUUCCAUUUGAAUGUGCAUUGUGACCAACUAGAAUUGAGAUCAUUAGAAAAGACUAGUUUUAUUUAACAUGGACAAUAACUUUGUAGAGGAAAAAAAAGUGAACCAAGAGUUUGAAAUAUAACUAUGGAAUGCUAUGAAGUACGGACAUUUUUCGAAUUAGGCGUGUCUCGAUAUCGGAUAUGUGUCAUAUCUGACACGGAUAUAUAUAAUUACACUAAAUUAUAUGAUUUUCUUAAAUUAUUAAUGGUGUCGGCAUGUCAGUGUCUAUGUUGUGUCCGUGUUCGUAUACGUGCUUCAUAGAUCGGAAUGUCUUGACCAAACCAAUCUAUCAAUUACUAGGAUACAAGGUUGUCAAUAUUGAAAAAUGUUAUGAAAUUAAGAAUAUUUCUCAUGAUUACAAUUUUCUUACAAUAAAGUUCCAUAGUUACAAACUUAGUUUUACCUAAAUUUGGUAACAAAUUUUCUUAAUCUACACUUAUCUAAACCAUUUUUGCAAGAACCUUCAUGAUAUCAUCCACAGUUGGCCUAUGCAAUGGAUCAUCUUUCACACAAUCCUUAGCUAAAAAACACAAACAAAGAGCCUCUGGAAGUGAAUAAUCCUUCAAAUUUGGAUCCACAAAAUUCCUUAACCCCUCAAAACAACCACCACCUUCACUACCUUCCCCAAACAAAAAUCCAACACAAUCUUUAACCAAUUUUCCAUCAAACUUUUCUCUUCCUGAUAUCAACUCAAGCAACACAACACCAAAUGCAAAAAUAUCAACCUUUUGUGAAACUGUCCCAUGCAAAAGAUUGUUAGAUACACCCCCCACAUCUGCCAAUUUUCCUCUCCAAUUUUCAGUUACAAAUAUAUUUCUACUAUUCACAUUCAUGUGAGCAUAAGAAGGAAAAGAACAAUAAUGUAAAUAGUAAAGACAUGUUGCUAUGUCAAAUACUAUUUGUGUCCUUCUAUGCCAAUUUAAAGUAUUGCAUGGAUCCAUUAAACAAUCCCUUAAGCAACCAUUUUUAGGUAACUCAAAAACUAAAUAAGACCAUGAAAUUAAAUCACUCUCACCAUAACAAACACCAAUUAAAUUCACAAUAUUAAUGUGAUUGAUUCUUGAAUGUAAAUCAAUUACCUCACUAGUGUCUUCAAAUCUCAUCCUCUUUAUCAUAACCUCAAUACCAUUGAUUAACCCCUUAUAAGCAAAAUCACCAAUCUUGUUCACAUCACUAAAAAAAUUUGUAGCUUUUUCAAUCUCUUCUAUAUGGUAAUUAAGCAAACAAUACUUGAUACCAACAAGAAAAUCAGGAGAUAAGCAUGAAGUUGUAGAGGUUCUUAUUGGUGACCAUAAAGUGGUUGAGUUUGUUGGAUUAAAGGAAUCAAUAACAUCAUCAGUUUUUCUCAAUUUCUUCAUAUAAAAUCCACUUGCAACCAAUGUAAUGAACAAUACAAAACCUAUAAUAGGUCCUGCAAUAUACAAAUUUGAUGGUUGUGUUGAUUCUUGUGUAAACGGAUUUGUUGGAAGAAAAUUAGGAGGUGGCGAAGGAGAAUCUGGAAUGUCGAAUAUUUUGAUUGGACCAUUUGCAUCUCUUAUUGGAAUCAAAACAACCGUCUGAGGAAAAACUGAUGACAAGGGUUGCAAUUGAUUUGCUUCCAAGAAAUCAUCAAGUGAGAUACCAAAUUUUUUACUCAAUUUAUCAAAAUUAUCUCCUUGUAUAAGAGGGUAUGUAACAAAGUACUUUAUUACACCUUUCAUAAUACUAGAGUAAUUUUUUGGACAUGAACAUCUAAGAGGUACAUGAAUAACAUCACCGAAUUUCGGUUCAUUACCUUGAUUUUCGUUUUGAUCGGAAAGUGUGACAUGUUUCAAUAGACCUUCAAAAACCUCACAAGCAAUAUUGGAAAAUGUUGUUGAGCUUUCAAGAUUUUUGUAGCUGAGUUUGGCUUGGUAAAAUUGGUUAGAACAUGUACAUUCAAUAGGAAUAAGAACUUCUUUACCUUGUUUGAGUAUUUGUGAAGAAGAUGUGAGGUUGUUUAUGUGAAGAAUCUCAUUGGUGUUUUUGUUGAAGAGGUUUGAGAUUUGUGAAAUGGUUUGGAAAUUUUGAUUUGCUCUAUAUACUAAGAAUGUUUUGCAUGUGUCAUGUGUUGAAUUGCAAGUGUACCUUGAACCUGGUGAUGUUUCAUUUGAAUAACAAUUAGAACUGUCGUAAGGUUGUUGAGAAUAGCAUGAAUUUAUGCAUAUACAUAUGAUAAACCAAAGAUGAAUCAUGACUUUGUUGUUAUACAUAAGUACAAGAUUAGUUCCCAUGAUUCUAGCUAUGAGUUCUUAAGAGUCACUAGUAAAUAGCAAAGAAUGUAGUGAAAGAUGAACGUAAGGAAGAGUUAGAACUUUGAAGGAUAUAUGUUGUGCUUGAUGCAUAUAUGAAAUGUUUUUGUUUAAAAAAGUAUAGGGUUAAUUAAAUAAAUGGUCCCUAUAAAUAUUUAGAAUUUUAUUUUUAGUCUCUAUAAAAUAAAAUAAAAUAUCAUUUUUUAAUUUUUGUGAAAUUUUCCGUCAGUAUUUUUAAUCCUUAUAAAAUUUUCUAUUAGCAUUUUUAAUCUCUAAAACGCUAAAAGAAAAUGUCCCAAAAAUUAAAAAAUAUGAUUUUAUUUUAUAAGAACUAAAAACUAAAUUUAAAAUAUUUAUAGGAAUCAAUCUUCUUUGAUUAAAAAUACAUCAUGACAUUAUUAUUCUAUAACAAGCAUACAAAGAUGACAUUAGAGAUUGUGACCCUUUGACUAAAAAGAAAUUAUCAAUUUAUCAAUAUGUAUGGUGAGAUGCAUAAAUAUGUAAGAAGCCGGCUGAAAAGCAAAUGGCUACAAAAGCAUAUAUAUAAAAAUAUUGAUGCAUAUAGGGUGAAUUUAAUUUCCUAUAUUAAAGUACUAUAGUGGUUACAUGAUGUUCCAUUUGUUUCCAUUUGUUUCUUACCAAUCAAAUUCAGUAAUAACCUCCAAACAUUAUUAUAUGUGCUCUGUCAGCAAACUAACACUUUCUCCAACUCAGACACAUUGCAGAUUGUCCAUUACUCAAUCAAUAAUAUGUUUAAAUAUUCCAAGAGACCUGGUUGCAAAAAAAAUAAUUAAAGGAUUUGAAUUGUUAGCGGGUAUAUGCCUAUAUGGGCCCUUGCAGUUGGUUUAGUUGCUAUAUAUAAAGAUUAUAAGACUUUUUUAUCUUUUUGAGCAAAAAAAUUAUAAGACUUAUAAAUAAAUAAACAAAAUAUACGAAGUUUUAUUUAUUAUUUUCUGUAAAAAAAAUACAAAGAAUUAUUUUUUUCUCAUAAGCUCCCUUCCAUUUCAUGCACGUCCGAGAAUAAAUGUGGAUACAUUUAUGUAUGUUAAAUGUAUAUAUGCGGGAUCAAGAGUGGCGCGUAGAGGAUAGCUUACAUUGUGCUUAGAGCAAUUACACAAUUGAAUUUGACACAUCAAUUUAACCGAAAACCUUGAAACAUUGUUCAACUUCUACGUUUUUAAGUAAUGUGAGAUUGCCAGGACGACUUUUGACACAAGGAGCCGUUCAAAAUCUUGUUGAACUUUGGUUAUGAUACCGUUGUUGGGUCACAUGGGGAUGUUCGAGGAUCCUCCACAUUAGACCAAGACCAACCACGCAAAUGUGAGAAACAUCACACUUUAACUCAAACGAGUCAUUUCACUUAUAAUUUUUUAACCUCCACUUUUUCAAAUAAUGUGAGACUUCCAACUCACACUAGCUAAACAACAAUACAAACCUUUAACUUAGAGGAAUCUCUAUUCUAAUCUUGUAGAUUAUUGUCAAUUUGAUCCCUUGAAAUUAUUAAUUUUUUAAAGUAGUCAUUUAAAUUAAAAAUCUUUAAUCAUAUUAGUCUUAUUUAGAUCCGUUAAUUUAGUCUCUAAAAUUAUUUGACAAAGACUAAUGUUUUUGAAAAUUUUCAAAUUUAUUCGGUCUCUAAAUUACUUGACAAAGACUAAUGUUUUUGAAAAAUUUUAAAUUUAUUCAGUCUCUAAAUUACUUGACAAAGACUAAAUGUUUUUCAAAAUUUUAAAAUUGAACAGUUGAAGUGGGAGGUGAAUGGACUCAAUUUGAAAAUUUUGGCAUGCAUGGUUGAACAAAGGAAAUGUAGGGUGAGAUUAUAAAUUUGAUUUAGUUCCAAACUUAGAACAAGAAAUUAUGGAAGAGGAUGAAGUGAUUCCUAAUGGGAGGAAACAAAACAGGAUGAAGACUUUAUAAAUUGACAGAUAUUACUUAGUUUUUGUAAUAUAAGAGUUAGUUAAAACUCACAAUCUAUGAGUAGCAUUUGGUCUCAAACUCCUUCAUAAUUUCAAUAACAAGAUUUAUCCUUGACUAGUAUCUCUCAUUUUCUCUCCAAGUUUUUAGAAUCUUCUUCAUCAUGAUGAUUAACUUCAUGUUGGCAUCAAAACUCUUCUAAUCUCUCUUGCAUAUCUCUUAUUCCUCAACCGUGGUUUGUGGUCCUGGCAAUGUCGGCGUUAAUGUGAUUCCUUUGGUAGAACGUAGGCAUGGCAAUGGGGCAGGGUGGGGACGGGUUUUGCCUUCCCCAUCUCCAUCCCCUACUUCCAUAUACUUAGCUGUUACCUUACCCAUACCCAACGGGGAUGAGAAAUUGAAUCUAAUCUCCGUCCCCAAUAAGUUCGGGUAUUCCCACCACAUCCCCGUCCCCGCAGUGAAUCAAUUUUUUUUAAUAAAAAAAGAGUUUUUUUUAAGCUUCAAUGGUAAUGUUAUAAUGCAUUAUCCAACAAUUUGCGCUCAUUUUAACAUUUUGUUACCGAAUAAUUCGGUAGCUCCUUUAACUAUCCGUGAAAGUUCUUAUAUCAUGACAAUUAUCAAACCAAAUAACAUGGCAUAUCAUUAUCAACCCCCUUAACAAAAACAAAAAUAUGACCUUUCUACCUUCGGGUAGGGUUUGGGUAUGGGUUCGGGGUGGGUACAUAUAUCCCCAUUACCUGUCCCGUACCCGUAUUUUGAAAUCGGGAAAAAUCCAAACCCAAUCAAAUCAUGGUUGGUUUGGGCGGGUACCCAUGGGCAUGGGUUUUGUUGUCAUGCCUAGGUAGAAGAUCUUUCUCUAAUUCCUAGUAAUGUUUUACCAUGUUUUUGCUUUCGAAGGACCUUCUUCCAUUGCACUUACACUGGUUUUCAAUCAUUCAAAUUACCAUGCCUGGCAUCGAUUCAUGAGGAGAGCUCUUGGAGGUAAGAACAAAUUUGACUCUGUUGAUGGAUCAAUUCCUAUUCCAACUUAGUUUUAUCCAAGUUUCAAGGCUUGGAAUCAUUGUCAUAUGUACAUUCAAGGAUUAUGAAUAUUGUUGAUGAAUCCAUAACACAAAGCAUUGUUUUCUUAAAAAUGAAAUCGAUGCAUGGAAUAUCUUUGUUUUCUUUGAAUGUUUGAUAAGUGUCAAAUUCUUGAUAAUUUGCAUGGCACUUAUUGACUUGUUUUCCAAGUAAUCUAGGUAAACACAUCUAAUUUACUGUAAAUAUAUAAUAUUAGUAGUUUUAGGCUAAUAUAAGUUGCUUUUACCUACUUCUCUUCAUAUUUUGUAGGUUUUUCAUAUUGAUGACCAAGAAUUGAUAAAGUCAAAUGGAUUAUGAGGCAUAGCACAUUCGCUAGGCAAGCUAAGUGAGAUAGAAGCGAGGAGUUCCAAAGAUUUUUCCGGGGACAUGCAAGAGCAAAUUCACUAGGUGGGCAUCAAUUCGCAUUGCGAUUCAUGGCGUUUUAAUGAUCUGAUUGUAUGAACUGUCGUUUCCCACAAUUUGAAGAAAGCUCGGAUUCACUUGGCGAGCAUCAAUUCGCCCAGCAAAUUCUCAGUUAUUAGAAUCUUAUAAAUAGGUGUCUUAUUUCUCUUUAAGGAUAUCAAUUCCAUAUAAAUUUAUGGAGGACAAAUCUCAUGUACAAAGAUGAACAUAAAAAGAGAGAUAGAGAUAGUGAUAUAGAGGAGAAAGAAAUAGCGACGGAGAACAAGGAAUCAGUUUCGGUGUCUAAACUUUUUUUCUUGUUUCUUGCAGUAAGGUUAUGUAUAACAAAUCCUUUCUAUUGUUGGGAUUAUGUGUAGCUUAUAUGACUAUUUUGAAGAUACUUAAUCUAGAUGAUUAUAUAUAAACUCUAUUUUGUUAUAUUGAUGUGUUUGUUCCAGUUUUUAACACUUUUUUCGAUUUGCAUUCAGAAAAUGAAUUUUUGACUUAGGAAGUGAUAGAUAUAGAAUUUCUCUAAAAGAGACAAAGAACUUCAACGGAAAAUAGAGUGUAGGAUUCCAUAAGAAGUAAAAGACUUCUUAAGUACUAUUUAACGACAUUAUCCAAUUGAGGCAAAAUUUUCAAAUCCAAAUCAAAGAUUCUCAAGGACGAUUUUGAUGAGUUGAAAAUCUACAAACACAUGCUCUAUUAUUUCUCUCCUAUAUAAGGACCUGGGCAGUUUCAAGAAAUUAAGAGAUUAAGAAUUAUUACAAGUGCUAAAACUCUGUCAAAUUCAAAAGUAUUCAAACACUUAAAAAAAUUCUUACAAACUUAGUAUCUUAGAAUUUCUUGUGUGUCAGAAGUUUCUUAAGCUUGAAAUUAGUUUACCACUCUUUAUGUUUGAAAGUGUAAAAACAUAAAAACUAUUUUAUUAAACUCUUAUUGUAUAAGUCGUCUUGUGUGAGGCGAGGAAGUCACUGACUUGUGUGUUGGAACAAUUAUAAUCUUGUGUGAUUAUAGUGAGAGAAAAAAAAAACCUUGGAAAUGCAAGGGGACGGGAAGUAACCUAGGAUUGUGGAGUAAAACAGGAUAAAAAAUUUUGUGUUGUCUCUCUCUAACUCUUAUCUUUCUUCGAUUAUCUUUCUGUUCUGCUUUGUUUAAACUUCUAAAAAUAUUUUCAGAAAAUCCAGCACAAUUCAACCUCCCUUCUUGUGUUUUUCUCACCUUCAUAGUUAACGAAACUUAAUUCCGACAAUACAAUCUCUCUAUUGUUGUUUCACUACUUACAUUACACAUACCAAAGCAUAUGUUUAAAUAAACUCAUUUUCCGUACUCAAAACAGUUUUAAAUUUUUAAACAACUUUGGUAUCGCACGAGUCCAUGUGA